UGGGGUGCAUACACUUGCUUCAUAGUCUUUACCACAUUAUUGACUUACUAACUACAAUUUAUCCAUGCACAUUGCACAGGGUGGACUUGGUGGCGCUCAAGCAUUUGCGAAGUCAGAUAAAUUGGUGAAUAUGCUAAAGAAGCAAAAGGAAUCAAAUAGACCUUAUGGUGCUAUAUGUGCAUCCCCAGCUUUAGUGUUGGAGCCCCAUGGCUUACUCAAGGUACGACCGUUUCUGCUUAAAUUAUUUACUCAGAUUUGGAUCACCCAAUCUGAACUUGAUGAAGGAUUAUGAUGUUGUGUGAUUUUAUGAAUGUGGUCGUAUCUCAUGUAAGUCAGUGAUGAAUUAAUUGGAGUUUGCUGACAAAUUAGAAACUGAAAAACUGCUGCUGCUUCAUUAGUUACAUUACCCAAAGAGUUAAAAUAAACAUCCCAAAUUUUGUCCCAAAUUCUGUCCCAAAUGAUAUGGCAUUUAUUGAGUGAUUGUAUUAUCUAACCAACCAAUUGAUGAAUGUCACAUAAUUUGAGAUGGUUUUUUGGGAUAAAGAAUUUGGGAUUUUUACCCGCAAAAAUCCCAAGUACUUCCUGCUCCUGCAAUAUCAUUGCUGUGUAUUUGCUUUCCCCUUAGACAUAUUCAAUUGUGGUUCAGGGUAAAAAAGCUACAGCUUUUCCUGCUAUGUGCAACAAGCUGUCAGAUCAGAGUGAAAUCGAAAACAGGGUUGUGGUUGAUGGCAACCUCAUCACCAGUAGAGGGCCAGGAACUUCUAUGGAGUUUGCACUGGCAAUUGUGGAGAAGUUUUUGGGCCGCAACAAGGCACUUGAGCUUGCAAAGAUAAUGCUUUUCACUCGCGCCUAACGUUUGUAUGGGGACCUGUCUACUAUUAAACUAGUGUGUUUAUUUCUGUAUUGCUACUGCUUGUAGAGAGGGGAAAUGGAAACUUGAAUUCAUGUUUGAAUAUGGAUUCACUGUGUGGGUUUGUACAGCAGUUUGGUUUAUAAAUAAAUGAGUUCAUGGAGUCACUUCAAAUAUUCGGAAUAAACCUGAGUUUAGAUCUGUUAUCAAUGGUCGGAGUCCAAUUGCGAUCGACUCACUGGGAAUUUUAAUUAUGAAUCAUGUUAUAUUCCACCUUUCUCAUAAAAUGUUAACUCGAUUUACAGGAUAAGAAGGAAAAGAAAGACGCUAAGAGAGGAGCAGACACCCAAAAAGAGUUGACCACUUUGUUGGAACAUAAAUCUCUAGAAUAUUGAAAUAAAACACAUACCAUAUCUAGUAUCAAGUAUGUAUGUGCAAGAAGAUACAAAUUUGAAGAUCAGAUUUCUCAUUUCAAUUUAUGUUCUGCUUAGAGCAAUGGCUCUUAUUCCACAAGCACAAGCAGGAAAGAGUACGCACGAAGUUAAGAAACACACAUUGCAAAAGUUGCAUUAACUACUUGCGGCAACAUCAUCCAAGAACUUGACUUUAAUCUUCUUGAGCUUCGCUGCAGCAUCUGUCAUAUGCAUUCUCUUGUCAGGUGACUCCAUACAACAAUCCAAUGCCAAAUCCAUGAUGCUUAAUAAACAAUCCAUUUUGGCAGAAAAAGCUUGCUCUUCUCGCACCAAAUUUGCGUCAACAACUUCACUCAAUCUGUGAGGUAAUGACUCCUUCACCCAUCUCCUUAAACUCAUUUCUUCUGUGAACAUUUGAUCGGUGGGCCUCUUUCUCGUGAAAGUUUCCAUCAAUAACACACCAUAGCUGUAGACAUCACAUUUGGCUGAAACAAUUCCUUCUAAUCCAUACUCUGCAUUUUUUAAUUUUAAUUAUGAAACAAAUGAUAAAACAAAUAAUUUUUUUGAUAAUUAAGGUAACCCAAACUUUGCUCGUGCUUGAAAAAAGAGCAAAAAUUUUAAUUACAAUUGAAACUUUACCUGGUGCCAUAUAACCAAUUGUAGCCAUUGUCAUGGUUUGUGUCACACAAUCUUCUCCUUCACCUAAGAGUUUGGAAAUGCCGAAGUCGCACACAUGUGCCAUCAUAUUUUCAUCCAAGAGAAUGUUGGUGGGCUUCAAAUCACAAUGAAUUAUAGGUGCCGACGAAUGACCAUGAUGGAGAUAUUCAAGAGCCGACCCCACAUCUAUCAUUAUAUUCAACCUCUCUAGAAUGUCUAAGAAAUAAUUGUAAGAAUACAACCACUUCUCGAGACUACCAUUUGGCAUGAACUCAAGUACCAAUGCUUUGAAAUCUGGAUUAGAACAACUGCUAAGGAUCUUUAUGAGAUUUCGAUGACGAACAUUCCGUAAAACUUCACAUUCAGAAUCAAAACUCCUAAAUGCUCUCUCUAGUUGCAGAUUGAAAAUCUUUAUUGCAACAUUAGUCCCGUCGGAAAUGGUUCCUUUAUAAACUGAUCCAAAACUACCUGUACCCAGCAAGUUACAUUCAUUAAAUUCAUCAGUUGCUCGUUGAAUGUCAAGGUAGGAUGUUCUUCUCCAUGUUGCAAGAGGUAGGAAAUCUUCGUGAUCUGAUUUUUUUGUACUCCUCUUUCGGCAUCUUAUGUACAUAAUGAUGAUAAUCACUAUAAGUACAGAGGAUACUAUCGGAGGCAAAAUAUAUUUAAGGACAAUUAGAGCAACGUUCUUGGUGCUUUUGCUGUCACCUUGUUUGCAAGGUGGGACUCGGAGUUUAGGUGGACCACAGAGUGCAUAAUUUCCGAAAAAUGAUUCAGUUGACAAGUUUUUAAAAGACCCCUUAACAGGAAUUUCCCCUUCUAGCCUAUUAUGAGACACAUUAAAUUGUUUGAGAUGUGACAAUAUCUCCAAUGACUUAGGAAUUUUUCCAGAGAGAUUGUUGCCGGAGAGAUCUAAGGAUUCUAAGCUUAUCAAACUGCCAACUGAUUCAGGAAUAGGUCCCUGAAAUUGAUUACGAGCCAAGGAUAGAGUUUCUAGAUCUAUGAGGGCACCAAUGGUUGAUGGAAUAUCACCUAAUAAUUGAUUCCUUGAUAAAUCUAAAACUGUCAAGACCUUUAACUUUUGUACAUUGGAAGGGAGAGGACCAUUUAAUGAAUUAGACGACAAGUUUAUCUCUAAGAUGUACUCAAGGCUCCACAAGGAUGACGGUAUACUAGAAGUGAGCUUGUUGGAGCCUAAGCGGAGUUCUCUUAGAGAUGUCAAACUCGCCAAGCAUGGCGGUAUAUGUCCAGAGAGCUUAUUUCCAUUUAACCUUAUUCCGUAUAUCAACUCCAAGUGGCAAAGAUCAUAGGGAAUGGAUCCUUCCAAAUUAUUUUCUUCAAGAGAUAAACCUUGUAGCCGCUUAAGUCUUCCCAUCGUUGGUGAAAUAGUUCCAUUCAAGUCAUUGAAGCCGAGGCUUAAGAGGAUCAGGCCACGCAACUUACCAAUUUCUUUAGGAAUGCUGCCCCCGAGUUUGCAGUUGGAUGCAUAAAAUUGUCGAAGAGAAGCAGAGAAAUUUCCAAUCACUGGUGGAAGGAUGCCACCCAAUGGAUUAUAAGCUAAGGCUAAAAAUGUUAAAUUUCUGCAAUUAGUCAGAGAAGAGAGAAAACUCCACUGAUCUGCUGAAGAUGAUUCUGUCGUCAAGUUAUUAAAUGCUAAGCUGAGCACGUCGAGGUGUCUCAAGUUGCCAAAUGUAUUUGGAAUAUGGCCCGAGAAUGAGUUGAAGCCCAAGUCUAGGGCAACGAGUUUAGUAGCAUUGGUGAUAGAGUGGGGAAUUAUCCCUAUAAGAUUAUUGGCCGACAAGGCUAAAUACUCUAUGUUCGGAAGCGAGUGGCCAAUCGUUGACGGUAAGCGGCCUGAGAGUUGAUUGCCCCCCAGAGUAAGGAUUCUCAUGGUUGAAAUGUUGAAGAUCGUGGGUGGAAUGAGGCCACUUAAAUUGUUGUCAGCAAAAACAAGAACCUCCAAAUUUUCCAGAUUGCCAAUCUCGGUUGGAAUUUGACCUGCCAUCAGGCCAACAUUGAGGAGUCAUUGAGCUUUUAGCUUAAGGUAAAUUGAGUUUGACAAUGUUACCCUUGAAAAUGUAAAAGGAUCAAAUUAAUUUUAUUACACAAUAAUUUCAGCCAAUAAUGUUCUUUACACAAUAAUUCUGCAAAAUAUGCAUGCAAAUGGAAAAAUAUGCUUCAAUUACAAGAGGUGGUGGAGCGUACCUCGAAGAUUGCUGAAGCUAAGAUCCAGAUACACGAGUUUACUCAAAUUUCCAAUCCUUGAAGGAAUAUUUCCACCAAUAGUAUUGAACUCUGCACGCAGCGUCUCUAGCCUUGAUAAGUUGAAGAGAGAAUUAGGGAUGGGACCUGUGAAACUGUUAUUAUAAAGUCUCAAUAUUCGGAGUUUAGAUAAGACACCAAUCCAUGAUGGAAAGCUUCCGCUCAAUUUAUUGUAAGCGAAACUCACGACUCUGAGUCGACGUAAUUGCCCCAAUUCUUUCGGCAGAUGGCCAUGAAAAUUGUUCUCACUAAUGUCAAGAGACACUAGAAAUGAGAGAUUUCCCAAGUGUAGUGGAAUGGUGCCUCCGAGACCCAUAUCUGAAAGAUUCAAGGCAGUGACUCGUUGAUGGCGUGAACCACAAGAGAUACCAACCCAGCUACAUAUUGGAUAAGAUAUAGACCAAUUAUUUGCCAGGGCACUCCGAUAAUCAAGAAUGUGGGCUUUGAAUGCCAGAAGAGCUGAUUGAUCUGUUGUUAAAUCGUUUAAAGUCGUCACAGCUAAGCUAGCAAUGAGAUACUGUAACACUAACACCGACAUAGGAACAAAGAAGAAUGAUAAGCGCAUAUUGGUCGUUUUUAGUAGUAGUUGCAAGGCGAGAUUGAUACAAGUUUUAAGUAAAGGAAAUUAGCAUAUACUUAUAAUGAGACAUAUGAAUUUGAAAAUAAGAGCAGAAAAAAUAUACAGGAGACUUGCAAAUUGUUAUAUUCUGUCAUUGAGCGAGCCGUCCAAGUAAACGCAUUUACACUUGAACCCUAAAUAAAGGCCUUAUGGCACUUUAAUUGCCAUAAGGAAGAAGAUGCUCAACAUUGCCAAAAGUGUUUUUCUUGAAGUCUCGUCUUCCGUAAUGUUUGUAAAAUCGAGGUUUUACCAUCUCUAAUUAAAUAUUUACUCUUGAUUUAGACCACGUAAUCUAAACUUGACGAAAAAUUAUGAUCUUAUGUGAUUUUAUGAAUGUGGUCUUAUCUCUUAUAAGUCGGCAAUGAAUUAAUUAAAGCUUGCUGACAAAUUACAAGCUCAAAAAUAUCUUUUACUUAUUCACAAUCUUAUUUCAUUUUUUUAUAACAUAAUAUUAAAAAUUUGUCUAUUAAAUUAAUUUAAUAAUUUUUUUAAUAAAAAAUCUCAUUGACGACCAAACAACUAAUUUUUUUUUUAUAAAAGCUUUGCUUGUUAAAAUUAUGCUGAAAAAAACUCUACUUAAGUAAGUUCUAUUUUUUUUAUAAAAGCCAUUUUAUUUCUUUAUCUUUUUUAAUUAUUAUUGGAAAAGUAGCGCAGCUUAUCAAAAAAGGAAAGAAAAAAAAAAGUCAAAGUGACGAGUGGCUUGUUUUUUAAUUUCAAAGUCAAUGCAAAGUAAAAGUACCGAAAUAAUCAGUUUUUAAAUCCAAAUAAGUGGCAAUAAAGGGAGGUCUUGUUAGGGGUGUUCGCGGAUCGAAUUUUAUGGAUUGGACAUCAAUCCAUAUUCGAUCCACGAUUUUACGGAUUAUAAAAUUUCAAUCCAAUUCAAUCCACGGAUUUGUAAAAUUCAAUCCAAAUCCAAUCCAUAAAUCUGCGGAUCAGAUGCAAAUUUGACCUAAUCCAUAUCCAAUCUACAAUUUUGCGGAUUGGUUUGUGGACUGAAAAUUUUUAAUUCUGUCAAAUCCACGAACUAACUAAAUAAAAAAAUUUAAUAUAAAAAUAAUUUUACUACGGAUCAAAUUUAAAAUUAAAUAAGAUUUAAAUAAAUAAAUUGCUUAAAUAAAGCUAGCAAAUACAUUUAAAGUUUCAAAAUAUAACACACCAAAAUGAAAAAAAUAUCAUUCGUUUUAGAUCAAGGAAAUUAACUAUUUAGUAAACUAUAUUUGUUUAUUUAAUUAUUUUUUAUUUUUUAUUAUUAUCGGAUAUGAUAUAAUAUAAUGUUAAUGUAACUAUAUUUUAACUUAUUUAUUUACUAGUAAGUACUAAUAACAUAUUUACAAGUUUUAUUUUUAAUUAAAUAAAUACUUUUUAUUUUUUUGCGGAUUCGCGGAUUUUUACCGAUUUACAGAAGUAGAUCCAUAUCCAAUCCACUGAUUGCGGAUUAUCAAAUUUUCAAUUCAAUCCAAUCCACCAAUCCACGGAUCAGACGGAUUGAGCAGAUCGAAUUAGAUUAUGAACACCCUUAGGUUUUGGUGUGCAUUGUUGAAAACUUGGAAGUCUAUAUGACCAUUUAACCAAACUAUAGGGGUAUAACUGUCACAAAUUUUUAAAAAUAAAUUUUACCAAACAUUUAAAUGAUUUUUUUUUCACAAUUGAUUAUUAAAUUCUAAGUGUUAGACUAUUGUAAGAAUACAAAUAAUUGACAUGGACAUAAUAUUAAAUAAAAUUUACUUAUAUAUAUAUAUAUAUAUAUAUAUAUAUAUAUAUAUAUAUAUUAUUGUUUGUAUAUAAAAAUUGCUAACUAAAAAAUAUUUAUAUUUUAUCAAUUUUAUUUCUUUUAUUUUUUUAUCUCAAGAUAAAUAUAAUAAUAACAAUCUCUCUAAAUUUAAUUAUUUUUGCUCUUUAUUGAAUAAGGAUAAUUUUGAGUUUCUGUAAUAUAUGUGAGGAUAUAUAUAAAAUUGUAUUAAAUAUAUAACUAUUCUCAAAAUUAAAUUUUAAAAAACUAGUUCAUUCUCACUUUUCAUUUAAUUAGGCAAAUGGCCACAGAAAUUGUUCUCCCUCAUAUCCAAAUAAACUGAAAACGAGAGAUUUCGUAAGUGUGGAGGGAUGAUGCCUUCGAAACCCAUCACUGAAAGAUUCAAGUUUGUGACUCUAUGGUAUGAGCACCACAACAUAUGCCAAUUCGACUGCAUAUUGAGUAAGACAUGGACCAAUUAUUCAAGAGAUUCAUGAGCCUUCGAAGUGAGAAAUAAAGCAAAUUAUGUGGUGGUCGUGGGUCAAUUGACUACGUUUCGUGAUCUACGUGCGAUUGCAACAGUCGGUUCAUUAAGUGAAAUUAAUGACUCGUCCACUAUAGUAAGAUACUGUCCUCAUUAGGUUGGUGCUGGGUCAAUUUUAUCCAUGAGUCAACUUACAUUAAUUUGAAUUAAUUUAUAAGAGUAUCUCAUUUUCGUUGAUUACGAGUUGUGAUCGAUGACAUGCACGAAAGCAGUCAAUUUACAGGUCAUUCACUAUAUAUAUGGGGUCUAUGGGUGGAUGGAUCUAACGUAAAUUAAGGGUUGAUGAUGACCCUCGACUUCUAACGACGACCAUCGAAGACGACCUUGACUUUACAUGCAAACACACAAUUCGCUCUCAUACAUUAUGUUUUAAAAUUUCUCCAUUUUCCGGGGCCCCGCUGUCGACCGUACACAGUUUAAUUUGUAUAUACAAGACCUCAUUGUUUCUAGCAAGCAUAGAGCCAUAGACCAUAUUAAUUCCAAUUACAUAAAUCUUCAUUUUUAUCAUGAUUUUGGAUCUCGAGCAGUGUGGAUAUAUCCAACCAGAUCCGCCUCACUGGCAUCCCAAUAUAUUUUAGAAUUGAGUAAUGAGUAUCAAUAAAUGUGUAAUUGUAAAUCUACAACGUUUAAUUUUAAUUUGAGGACUCAAAUGAAUUUAUCCAACAAUACCUCGUUAAAUUAAUAUUCCAUAAAUUUUUAACUUUAAUUAAAUAACAAAUUUUGUCCGUCCCAACUUAGGAUUAACGUGGUAAUUAAUAAUUUGAUAAAUUGUUAGAUAAUAAUUUUUUAAAAAAAUCUUAUUUUUUUAUUGGAUCAAACUGAUAUAUAAAUGAAUAAUUAAUUAAUUUUAAAACUAAAUUCAUGUUAUGUCAAUCAAAUGUUAUUGCAAAGAAGACUAGCAGCGACGCUUUGAAAGGUACACCAAAGCCUUUUGCACCUUCUCCUCCGUGACCACCAAUAGAUACUUCCACCAUUUCAACGUCAUGACAUGAUGUAAGUUUCUUUUGUAGAAUUUGCGAAUUGGUAAUCUUUUACACGCGUAUAUUUAUAUCAUUGUAUAGUUAUAGAUUCAAUUACUUUUAUGAUGCAUUUAUUAAUUUGGAAUUGAAGUAGACAAGAAUGGGCUGUAAUGUGAAUGGAGAAUCGAAAUUAGAAUAAGUUAUUUACUUGAACUGUAGAAAUCGAAAUGAGUUGGAUUGUCAUUAAUGUGUUUACUUUGUCUUGGAAUCAGAAUUGAAAUAAGUUAGUUUAUAACAAAUUACUAAAAACUACUUAAUGAACUAUUGUUAUAAUUAUUAUUUUGUAUUUUAAUUAUUAUGAUUAUUUAUUAAAAAUUAUUAUUGUUAUUAUUACUUAUUGUUAAUAGUAUAUUAAUAUAUUAAUAAAUUAUAAUAAUAUAUUAAAUAACUAUAAUAUAUUAAAAAAUAUACUUGUAUUUACAAGAAAUGACUGAUAAAAUUUCUAAAAUCGUCUUCCUCCCUAAAACUCUUAAUGCCACAGCCCUAAAAAUUAAAAAGAUUUGGGAAUUAUAUGUCUUUUUUAAAAUAUUAAAGGGUGUUUAUUUCCUUAAACGGUGGGGACUAAAAGUCCUAUUCCCAAACGAGUAGUGUGCCGGCGUUGGAGGCUAGAAAGACAAUUUGUUACAUUGCUUCAGAAGUGCUUAAUGGAAAUUUUGGUGAGGCAUCACAUAAUUUAAAGGAUCAGGCUACGGUGCAACUGUGGUACCGUACUACAGUUGCAUCCAGCCGUUUUAAUUCACUUAUAUUGGUGAGGUUCACUGGCAUCCAACGGCUGAAUGCAACUAUGGCACGGUACCACAGUUGCACCACAAGUUUCCCCUAAUUUAAAUUACUGGAAUUUGCAUCAAUGGUUUUUAUUGGUUUAUUUACUCGUCAACAAAUUACUGUAACUGCAGAAAACAGUGUAACACAUUGUAUAAUACGUUAAUACGUUAUAUUGGUCAGUGCUCCUACCAAGGAAAUCUUUUUAAGUUUUGUUAGCAGAAUAUUCUUGUAAGGGUGGAGGCAUAAGAGAUUAAUAAUUUAAUAUCUCUUGUUCAUUAGAAGAUUUUUUUUUUUUGGGAAAAAAAAAGAAGAAGAUGGUUUGUUUAAUGUUGAUAAAUUUUGAAGUACAAUUUUAUAGAUGUCGAAUGUGGGCAAAAAGUAAAGAAGCUCAAACACUUUUCUACAUCUAAACUAAUCAUUAGGAUUUAUAUUAACUAAUAAACCCUAAUAAUACGAGCGUUCAUAAAAACUUCAUAUGAACAUUGAACCAGCAUGGCAUCAUAUUGUAAUAAGUUGUACAGCUGUCAAUCUCUUAUUAGUCAGAUAUAUUCUGAGUUAGUUACAUGAAUGUAGUAUAAAUAUCAUACUCUGUACACAUUCUUAGUUAGUUACUUCAGUAGAAUUUUCUCUCCUCUACUCAAUUUUUAAGUUAUCUUUUAUAUUGGGGGCAAAUGAUAUUUUAUUAACGAAAUGAUUUUGCCCUCUUAAUAAGCUCUCAUUUCUCCGCUUUGAUCAACACAGCCUUCUUUUAUUACAUCAAAAUUCUUCCUCUUUCCAUCAAAAUUUCAUGGAUCUGCCCUUACGUAAAAUCAUAUGAGAGUAUAUAAUAAAAUUAAUUAGGUAUGUUUGGAACAUUUUUGGUAUCCUUAAGCUGAUUUUAUUUUUAUUUUUUUAUAGUAUAUAUUGUCAAAAGUAAAUGCUAUAAACACUUUCGGAAAAAAAGAUGAAGAGCACCUUUGGAGUAAUUUUUUCUAUAGGAACUAACAAAACAACUAAAUGAUGUAUGUAUCUCUAAGAUUUAUUAUUAUUAAUUUUUUUUUCUGUAGUUGACAAAGCAUCAUGAUUGUGUUGGAUGAUAAGAUUAAAGGUGGGAAUGGUCCGAAUGGACCAAUUUUUUAGGAUAAAAAAAAAAAUGAUUCAAUCCUGGGCAUGUUUGGCUAUCGAAACUAGUUGAUUAGUCUAAAGUUUAAUUCAAAAGUAAUGGGACUAUUAAUCCUUAGGAAAAUUAUCAUUUGUAUACUCUAUAGAUGCUCUGUUAUAUAAAAAAUUACAACACUUUGAGAGUGUAUCAAUCGUCCACCCUAAGUUGACAAAAUAUAUCUGCCGUCCAUCAAACCGUUACUUGCUGUUUAAAUAGGAUAGCGCCAGAGGGGUAAUUUGGUCUUUUCAUAUGAUACAAGUGAUAAUUCAAGGGUAUACAAGUGAUAAUAAAAGAAUUUAAAGGUAUACAAGUGAUACUUUUCAAGGGUAAAAUCAUCAAUUCGCUAUAAUUCCGUUAACUUUCAAACGACAGCUAACGGUUUAGUGGUCGGCAGAUAACUUUUUUCAAUUUAGGGUGGACGAUUGAUACACCCUCAAAGUGUUAUAGUAUUUUUUAUAAUAGAACAUCUAUAGGGUAUACGAAUGAUAAUAUCCCUAAUCAAUCCUUAAUUCAACUUAGGUUUAAGUAGUAUAUAAAAAAUCUUCUUUAUCACUCUUUUCAUUUUUAUUUAGAUUAAAAUUCAUAUAAAUAAAUAUAAAGAAUUAAUUUCAUAAUUUAUUUAAACUAAAAUUUUAUAUUAUAUUAAAUAUCCAAAUUUUAAUUCAAUAAUUUAUUUAUAUUAGAAUUUUAUGCAAUAUUAAAUCCCAAAACUUUAUUUAAUAAUUUAUUUACAAAAAUAUUAAUAUCAAAUUCAACAAUUAGUAAUAUAAUUUAAAAUAAUUACACUAUUUUAAUAGUUAUUUAGCUAUAUUAAAUUAAAUUUAACAUAUCCUUGUCCGAUACUAUACUAAACAAACGAUAGUACCUUAUAUAGUAUAGUCAAUCUAUUAUAAUAUAAUUCAAUCUAAUCGAACGUGCCAAAUCAGUACAUUUUAAAAAAUAAUUUUAUAACAGCUUUAAAAAAGCAUUUUUUAAGUUACUUUUACAAAAUGUGCUUUCUCCGAAAGCACUCGUGAAAUGCAAAUUCUCACAAAACACGUGGUGUGUUCAAUUGGGCCUCCGCCCAUUAAAACUACAACCAUGAAAGCAAGCAAUGUUCAUUGGGCUUUAUUCUCUCGAGAAAACUUAUACACGUAGCCCACCACCGGCGCCCUAAUUUGUCUCCACCUCUCUAAAUAGAGUUGGACUAUUGGCACCUUUCCAAAAUUCUUCUGAAAUUCCUUUUUCAAUAAUAUUAAGUUUAAUGCUAAAAAUAUCCUUAUUUCCAAAUAAAUACAUUUAAUUUGUGAAUAUUUUAAUUUUCUAUUAUUUUCUCGCUCCUCACAAACAAAUUUUUAUGGGCGAUAAACUUCUUGAUAAAAAUCAAUUAAUUAAAUAAAAUAUCUAUAAGAUUAUAAUGUAAAAAAUUUUAUUAUGAGUCUUAAAAAAAGACAGAUAAAUUUAUCAGAAUGUGUUUUGUUUAUUAUCAAUAGAUUAUUUUAGUAAUUAAAGAAAAAUUUAUAGAGAAUUUGAGAAAAAAAAUUACGUGUGAGUUUGAUAGCAAAGAAAAUAUAAGAGUUUUUUUUUAAGAGAGAAAAUACAAAAGUUUGAAGUGAGAUAAAAUAGAUAUAAGAUAUAUUAGAGUAUUUAUCCUUAAAUUUAAUUGUAACAAAAGAGAGGUUUUAAAAAGAUUUUGGAGGAGUGUCUCCAACUCCUCUAAAUAUUAUUGAUUGAUGCAUAUGUUUCACAGCAUAGAGUGGCUUACAUUGGAGCUUUUCUAAAAAAAUGAAAAUUUCAUUUAAUUAUUUAUUAUUCACGGAUAAGAAAUUAACUUCUUCUUUUUUCUAACGCCACAGUCUGGUGAGCUUGCCUAGUGUGUUUUAGUUGGAUAAAAAUUUUAGCAAAUGCUUCUUGGCAAGGAAGCUUAAAUAGUUUAACCUGAAUUUAACCUCGAAUGAACCCAAAUUAUUAAACCGAACCAAUCCGAAUUGUGAAUCUGAAUUUCAGUUCGAUUCAGUUUGGUUCAGGUUCGUAUUUUCAACUCGAACAAGUUUAAUGCUCCAAUUCGAUCAGGUUGUAACCUAAACCGAAACUCGAAAACCCGAACUGAAACUCAAUUUGGCCACCCCUAAUGAGAACUGAGAAGUACCUGGAUCGUAAAAGAAAGGUUUUGAUGAUAAUUUUGGCUAAAAAUCUGUUUCUUAACUUCUAUUUUUAUUUUUUUAUGCUGUAUUUUAGUUGCUGAAUAGGUUAUAUAUAGAAGUUCAGUUAAUUUUGUUUUGGAUGAAAAAUCAAUGAGUACUUCUGUGAUUAAUAAGUGAAAUUUUGUUUGCAUCAUAUAGUCAGCUAUAAUGCAUUGGAUGGCUUUGACUCAGCAUGGAAGAAAUGCUCUCCGGCAGAUUACUAAAGAGAGCUCUGAUCGCGUGUUGCAUCACCCAUUGCUAUUUUCUUGUCAAGGAGUCAGAUACAGACGAUUGGAAGUGAUUCUAACAACAAUGAGUAAAUUGAUCUUUUGUUUUCCCUUUUCACCAGUUUGGAUCUCUUGACUAAUCAGCCUGUUUGAGUUUUAACUUGUGUAUUAAUGAUUGGUUUUAUAUGUUCAGAAAGUUGACAAGCUUGGUAAAGCCGGUGAAACUGUGAAGGUUGCUCCGGGGUAUUUCCGGAACCACUUGAUGCCCAAAUUGCUUGUUGUUCCAAAUAUCGAGAAGUUGGCUCAUCUCAUUAGAGAGCAGCGCAGGUAUUUGUUUUUCAUGAUUCUUCUCGGUUGAACUUUUUUUGUUUGGGUUGAGAAUGGUUAAUUCUAGUGAUACAGAAAUUUGCUCAUUUUCUUUAGAUACUUUGUUUAGCCAGUUUGUCAAUUAAUUUGACUCAUGGCUUCAAAUUAUUGCUAAAUUCUCAGUUUGGAAAUAUUUGUGAUUUUUGAAGGGGCAUUACAAGUUAUUAAAGUUUGUUGUGCCUGUGACUUAUUUUCAUCAGAUUUGCCAGCCUGAGGAAGAGGAAGAGGAAGAGGAAGAGGAAGAGGUUAGAGUUAUCCGGAAGUCUGAGGACAAUAUGAGUAGAGAAUUUGAGAAGGCAGCUAGGCGCCUAGAGAAUGCUCGACUGGUUUGUGGCCUAUCUUUUAAUUUCUUCAGAUUCGGGACAAAUUGUCUUGGAGUGAACUGAUGUGUUGCCUUUUCCUUUUUUUUUAGCUUGAAUGAUCUAUUUGCUACAGUUAGGAGUGAACGUCGUAAUGAAUUUUAAAUUAUACUGUUUGUUUCGAUUUACUUUUCUAUCUUAGCUCCAUCAAGUGAUUAGUGGAAUGCUGGUCCUGUGAGUAUAAAAUGAAACUCCUUAAGUUAAAUUCCUUAGGCUGUGUUUAUUUUCUGUAGUGGGAGCGAGGAGUGUAAAUUCUUUUCAUUUCAGUAUUUAUUUCAACAAAUUGGCUCCGGAUUGAGAAUCCCACUCAGUAGACCCCACCCAUUUUUGGAGUGAGAUUCCCAUGGGGAGAGGUGGGAGUGAGAUUCCCACUCCCACCUCUCCCUUUUUUUACAUUUUUUUUAAUUUAAUUUAAUUUAACUUAAUUUAAUAUUUAAUAAAAUAAAAUAAAUAAUAUCAUAUUUAUUUGAAUAAUAUUAUUAUAUUUAUUUUAAAAAUAAUAAUACUAUAUUUAUUUAAUAUUAAUAAUUAAUAAUAAUAAAUAGUUUAUUCUAAGAAAAUAUUAAUUUUGUCCUAAAUAAUAUUAUAUUAUUAUUUUAUAUAAUAAUAAAUUUAAUAUAAUUAUAUUAAAUAAAAUAAAAUAAUGUUUCAUUUUAUAUUUACCCUUCUUUUUUACCCUCUUUUUAUUAAAUUUACUAUAAUUAUAUUUAAUAAAUAUUUAAAUAAUAUUAUAUUUAUUUAAAUAAUAUUAAUAUAUUUAACUAAAUAAUAAUUUGGUUUGAUUCUAAGUCUAAAUUACUUAAAAAUAAUAUUAUUAUAUUAAUACAGAAUUAAUAAUAUUACUUUUAUACCAUCUUUAUUUGAAAAUAUAUUAUUAUUAUUAUUAUAUUUAUUUAAAAAUAUUAGUAUUAUAUUUAUUUAAUAUUAAUAAUUAAUACUAAUAAAUAGUUUAUUCUAAGAAAAUAUUAAUUUCAUACUAUGUUAAUAGUAAAAUAUUUCAUUUAUAUUGCCCUUAUCAAUAAUUUUUAAUUUAUAUAAUUAAAAUUAAAAUUAAUAAAAAAAUGUGAUGUUCAUAAUUAAGAAUAUUAAUAAUUAUUAUAAAUUUACAAAUAUAAAUGUUUAUUCAUUAAAUAUAUUUUUUAUUAACUUUGUAAUUAAAAACUAUAAUUCUUUAAAUAAGGAUAAAAUUGUAAUUUGAAACUAUUUACUCCCAAUCCGAGACAAACUAAACACAUAAAUUGAAUUCUGAUCUCCAUUCCAUGCUUUCAUUUUAGUGUAAGUAAACAACAUACUCCCACUCCCAAUCCUAAGAUUCCCACUCCAAUUCAAAAAGUAAACGCUACCUAAAUACAAGUAAUCUUGCUUUCAGAUAUGAAUUAUCUGAUGGAUGUUGUAUUUUCAAGGUAUUGAGGAGAUUCCCCAAUAUUGAAAAAUUGCGUUCCCGUGCAUCAAAAGAUGAUCCCAUAGAAUUGCGUUCACCUGUGACAAAAGAGGAGCUUGUAGUUGAGGUAUGGAUUUUUAUAUUUCUUGGUUGUUUUUAUACUUGUUUCUCAUCAUAAUAGCAAAAGCAGUUUGUUCUGAGUGAUCUGUGUGGUCUCCUAUCAAUGACUGCCGUUUCUAUCAUUUAGUACUAUUGACUAUGUGUGUAUAAAUAUUUUGUUUUUACCAUGUAAUUUCAUAUUCGAUGCAUUUCUAAUACAUUGCAUAGCGUCCAUGAAUGGGAAUGAUAAAAUAAAUUUCAAGCGUGUUUCAAUAGAUGAAAAAACUUGGAACGAUUUAGAAGGAUUUGCUGAUUAAAUAAUUUUCCAAUUUGUUUGCUUGGAGGAAUUGAAUAGUUAACUGAUUAAAGGAUUUCAAGGUGGUUCGGUCCCGCUGGGCAUUGUCAAUAUCAACGGUCAUUAAUUCCUAUUAUCUGAAAUUGAAUUUCCAGUGUGGCAUGGUAACUUUCUGCUAGGGUGUGAUUGUAUAGUAGCCAAUUGUGAGCAACAGAUCCGCAUAGUAAUAUAGAUUGAAAUUUUGCAUCUUAAUCCAUGAAGAUAUAGAUUUUGGCAAUAUUAUACAAGCACUGGGGAUUACCUUAAAUAUUCUGGACUUGUCAUUGAUAGAGUUUCUUUUACCUAGUUAUUGAUAUUUCUUUCAAUUUUCUAUUUUACUCAUACAAUUUAUACAAUUUUAGGUGGCAAGACAACUUUCGUUUUCUAUUGAGCCUGAAAACCUGCAUCUACCAUCACCUCUAUCUGCUUUUCGAGAAUAUGAGGUUCCUAUGCGCUUACCCAAAGCCAUCCCCCUACCGGAAGGAAAGGUCCAAUGGAUUCUCAAUGUUAAAGUCCGCGGCAAAUAAAUAUUUUUUAGUUAAUUUUUUAAUCAAUAAAAAAAGGUAAUUAAAAAUGUAAUUAAUAAAUUACUUAUUAGCAAAUUAAAAAACAAAUAUUAGCAUAAAAUAAUUGAUAUUUCAUUCUCUUACAACAAUCUUACCAAUUAUUAUUUAUAAAUUAAUUAAUGCAAGUUAAUUUAAAGUAAUGUUUAAUAUUCUUGUAACAACCUUACUAAUAAUUUUUUGAUAAAAAAAUUAAUUUAUUAAAUUAAUCCUAGAAGUAAAAUAAUAAUAAUUAAUUUGUAUUUUAUUUUUAAGAUUAAUUUGAUAAAUUUAAUUUUUUUUAACUAAUAUCUCCAAGAAUAUAGUUGUAACGAUAUUAUUACAAAAGGAAAAAAAAUAUAAGAUUAUAAUAUAUUUACCAGUAAGAAUAAUUUAAAAUAUUUUUUAAGAUAUAAAAAUUAAACGGACACUUAAUUAAAAAAAAAAAAAAAAAACUAAAUAAGUAGUUAGCUUUUAACAUUUCAACCUAGUGGUCAUACAAUCAUGGUGCGGCCCGGGAUGGCUGGCCCAGCCCAUCAUGUAAAAAUCCAUGUCACCCUCAUUCUUAAGCUGCUACUCUGCCACUUGCCACGGAGCUCCCCACAUCAUACCGUACCGAUGCCUCUAGAAAGCUAACUUUAAAAAAAUGGUAUUAAUAAGCGUACGCCACGUCACUCCUCACUCUCUUCUUCGUCACUUUCCUCUCACUCAACAUUUUCUCCCCAAACAAAUUCCUUCUUUGAAAAAUCGCAUUUUCUCCUUCACAGCAACCGCUACAAUGUCUUCAACUUCCAAGAAGGUAAUUUUUUUAAAUUUUAUUUUUUGUUUAGUUUCUUUCUGUUGCCUUUUUGUUUCGUUUUUUGAAUUUUCUGUGUCGUUUUUUUUUUCCCAAGGUUUUGGUGCCUGUUGCGAACGGGAGUGAGCCGAUUGAAGCCGUGAUAACGAUCGAUGUUUUGAGAAGGUCUGGAGCUGACGUCACGGUUGCGUCUGUGGAUAAACAGCUUCGUGUCGACGCGUGUCAUGGUGUCAAGAUUGUCGCUGAUGCUCUCGUGUCUGACUGCCGCGACGCUGUUUCUGAUCUUAUAGCUCUGCCCGUAUGUAUUGCAGCUCACCUCAGCUCAUGCUAAUUUAUGUGAUGUUUGUAUAAUUAUAGAUGAUUACUGCUGAUACUGAAUGUUAAAGCUAAAUAAUUCGUUCUUAAGUCAUCUUCAUUUAAUUUUCGAUUGAAAAUGAAAAAAAAAAUAAUUUUAAGCAAAGAAAAUGUUUAUUUUGUUUUAUUUUUAUUUUUAAAUUUUUGGGAUUUCCUUAUUGUGACUGUUGUCAUUCAUUAUAUGGUCCUAGUUAAAUGUUUCAAGUUGUUGUAGUCUGUGAAACUCUUUUCGAUAUUUGUUCUGGCAUGUACAUUUUUCCUUUCAAUUUAUUUUGUUGCUGAUACUUUGAUUAUGAUAUAUCCUUUUUUGUUUCCCUUGUAGGGUGGCAUGCCCGGUGCUACCAAUCUGAAAGAAUCUGAAGUAUUAGAAACCAUUGUGAAGAAGCAGGCUUCAGCUGGGCGUCUUUAUGCUGCUGUCUGUGCUUCACCUGCUGUGGCAUUAGGGUCUUGGGGUCUGUUGAAGGGAUUGAAGGUAAGAAUUAGAUAAGCCUUUUUUUAUGUUUGGUGUUCUUUUGGGAAUUGCAUUGAUAUUUGUGUUAUACAUCAGUUUUGCUCUCACCGAUGAUUGUUAAGUUCUAAUUUAUGGGGUUAUUCAUUUUUUGUAGGCUACUUGUUACCCGUCAUUUAUGGAGCAAUUAGCUCCUGCUUGUGCAGCAACUGUUGAAUCAAGAGUACAGCAGGAUGGUAAAGUUGUUACGAGUCGUGGACCUGGCACUACUAUGGAGUUUGCCAUUGCACUUGUCGAGCAGUUGUAUGGGAAAGAGAGAGCUGAUGAAGUUUCUGGGCCACUGGUAGUAACUUUUAUAGAUAAUGUUGUUUAAAAAAAUUGUGAGUUAUAUAAUUUGUGGAAAUUCAUUCUAAUAGGUUCAUCUAGUAUGUCAAAUUGGAAGGUUCAGAUGCUAAUAUAUUCCAAAAAAUUUGUUCAGGGGAAAAGUAUGACUUUUUGCAUUAGAGAUUCAUUAGAUGAAGUUGUAUACCUGCUGGCCCAUCUUAAUGUGGUGAAAACGAUGUCUGAUGAGACUGAUAUAAUUAUUGGAAUCUUGAUAAAUGCAUUUGUUGAGCUUGAAUGUCUCCACUGAUCACGUUCUUUUUAAUGUAAGUUCUUUCUCUUGGUAUUUGUCUUUGAAUCUUCUCUUCCUCAUGCUUUCGUCUUCACUGUCACCUUGUGCCUAGGUAAUGCGUGCAAAUCAUGGAGAUGAAUACACUAUUGCUGAAUUCAAUCCAAUUCAGUGGACAUUUGACAAUUCUCCCCAAGUAAGAUUUGACUUCUAGUUUCUUGUAGUUGUUUUUCUUCAUCCGAUGUUUUCAGGGAUACCCAUUUGGCAGUAUAUAAAAGUCUGUGAUAUCUUCUAUACAUAUACAUCAUUGGCUUCAGUCAUUUUCGAACAUAUUGGAGGUAGUAGAUGUAUUUUUAUGAUAUCUCUAAUAAAAUCCCAAGUUUGAUCAAUUACAAAAGAAGUAUGAGCGGUGCUGGACCGGGGGGGAAGAAGAAGUGGGGGGUCGGUGUGGUGGGGGUGUGCAGUGCAUGAAUAAAAGGAAAUGAUAGGGGGUGAAAGUUUGUGCUACCGACAUGCUGUAAAAUGGGGACAUAAUAUUUCAAAUUAGAUAUUGUGUGAUCCUUAAUAUUGCUGACUUUUGCUUAAAAUGGAAUUCUUGAUAACUUCAAAUGUUAAAGUUCUUGGUGAAAUUUUGUACUUUCUUUUCUUUCAGAUUCUUGUGCCUAUUGCAAAUGGUUCAGAGGAGAUGGAAGCUGUUAUGAUAAUUGAUAUUCUGCGACGAGCUAAAGCAAAUGUUGUAGUUGCAUCAGUUGAGGAUAAACCAGAAAUUCUGGCUUCUCGUCAAAUUAAAUUAGUGGCAGAUGUGCUCAUUGAUGAGGCGGCUAAACUCUCGUAUGAUUUAAUUGUCUUGCCAGUGAGUUGGGGUGCUUACUGUUGCUUCAUAGUCUUUACCACAUAAUUGACUUACUAACUACAAUUUAUCCAUGCACAUUGCAUAGGGUGGACUUGGUGGCGCUCAAGCAUUUGCGAAGUCAGAGAAAUUGGUGAAUAUGCUAAAGAAGCAAAAGGAAUCAAAUAGACCUUACGGUGCUAUAUGUGCAUCCCCAGCUUUAGUGUUGGAGCCCCAUGGCUUACUCAAGGUACGACCAUUUCUGCUUAAAUUAUUUACUCAGAUUUGGAUCACCUAAUCUGAACUUGAUGAAGGAUUAUGAUGUUGUGUGAUUUUAUGAAUGUGGUCUUAUCUCAUGUAAGUCGGUGAUGAAUUAAUUGAAGUUUGCUGACAAAUUAGAAACUGAAAAACUGCUGCUGCUUCGUUAGUUACAUUACCCAAAGAGUUAAAAUAAACAUCCCAAAUUUUUUGUCCCAAAUUCUGUCCCAAAUGAUAUGGCAUUUAUUGAGUGAUUGUAUUAUCUAACCAACCAAUUGAUGAAUGACACAUCAUUUGAGAUGGUUUUUUGGGAUAAAGAAUUUGGGAUUUUUACCCGCAAAAAUCCCAAGUACUUCCUGCUCCUGCAAUAUCAUUGCUGUGUAUUUGUUUUCCCCUUAGACAUAUUCAAUUGUGGUUCAGGGUAAAAAAGCUACAGCUUUUCCUGUUAUGUGCAACAAGCUGUCAGAUCAGAGUGAAAUCGAAAACAGGGUUGUGGUUGAUGGCAACCUCAUCACCAGUAGAGGGCCAGGAACUUCUAUGGAGUUUGCACUGGCAAUUGUGGAGAAGUUUUUUGGCCGCAACAAGGCACUUGAGCUUGCAAAGAUAAUGCUUUUCACUCGCACCUAACAUUUGUACGGGGACCUGACUACUAUUAAACUAGUGUGUUUAUUUCUGUAUUGCUACUGCUUGUAGAGAGGGGAAAUGGAAACUUGAAUUCAUGUUUGAAUAUGGAUUCACUGUGUGGGUUUGUACAGCAGUUUGAUUUAUAAAUAAAUGAGUUCAAAGAGUUACUUCAAAUAUUCGGAAUAAACCUGAGUUUAGUUCUGUUAUCAAUGGUCGGAGUCCAAUUGCGAUCGACACACUGGGAAUUUUAAUUAUGAACUAAAAAAUUGUUAUGUUAUAUUCCACCUUUCUCAUAAAAUGUUAACUCGAUUUACAGGAUAAGAAGGAAAAGAAAGACGCUAAGAGAGGAGCAGAGACCCAAAAAGAGUUGACCACUUUGUUGGAACAUAAACCUCUAGAAUAUUGAAAUAAAACACAUACCAUAUCUAGUAUUAAGUAUGUAUAUGCAAGAAGAUACAAAUUUGAAGAUCAGAUUUCUCAUUUCAAUUUAUGUUCUGCUUAGAGCAAUGGCUCUUAUUCCACAAGCACAAACAGGAAAGAGUACGCACGAAGUUAAGAAACACACAUUGCAAAAGUUGCAUUAACUACUUGCAGCAGCAUCAUCCAAGAACUUGACUUUAAUCUUCUUGAGCUUCGCUGCGGCAUCUGUCAUAUGCAUUCUCUUGUCAGGUGACUCUAUACAACAAUCCAAAGCCAAAUCCAUGAUGCUUAAUAAACAAUCCAUUUUGGCAGAAAAAGCUUGCUCUUCUCGCACCAAAUUUGCGUCAACAACUUCAGUCAAUCCGUGAGGUAAAGACUCCUUUACCCAUCUCCUUAAACUCAUUUCUCCUGCGAACAUUUCAUCGGUGGGCCUCUUUCUCGUGAAGGUUUCCAUCAAUAAAACACCAUAGCUGUAGACAUCACAUUUAGCUGAAACAAUUCCUUCUGAUCCAUACUCUGCAUUUUUUAAUUUUAAUUAUGAAACAAAUGAUAAAACAAAUAAUUUUUUGAUAAUUAAGGUAACCCAAACUUUGCUCGUGCUUGAAAAAAGAGUAAAAAUUUUAAUUACAAUUGAAACUUUACCUGGUGCCAUAUAACCAAUUGUAGCCAUUGUCAUGGUUUGUGUCACAGAAUCUUCUCCUUCACCUAAGAGUUUGGAAAUGCCGAAGUCGCUCACAUGUGCCACCAUAUUUUCAUCCAAGAGAAUGUUGGUGGGCUUCAAAUCACAAUGAAUUAUAGGUGCCGACGAAUGACCAUGAUGGAGAUAUUCAAGGGCCGACCCCACAUCUAUCAUUAUGUUCAACCUCUCUAGGAUGUCUAAGAAAUAGUUGUGAGAAUAUAACCACUUCUCGAGACUACCAUUUGGCAUGAACUCAAGUACCAAUGCUUUAAAAUCUUGAUUAGAACAACUGCUAAGGAUCUUUAUGAGAUUUCGAUGACGAACAUUCAGUAAAACUUCACAUUCAGAAUCAAAACUCCUAAAUGCUCUCUCUAGUUGCAGAUUGAAAACCUUUAUCGCAACAUCAGUCCCGUCGGAAAUGGUUCCUUUAUAAACUGAUCCAAAGCUACCUGUACCAAGCAAGUUACAUUCAUUAAAUUCAUCAGUUGCUCGUUGAAUGUCUAGGUAGGAUGUUCUUCUCCAUGUUGCAAGAGGUAGGAAAUCUUCGUGAUCUGAUUUUUUUGUACUCCUCUUUCGGCAUCUUAUGUACAUAAUGAUGAUAAUCACUAUAAGUACAGAGGAUACUAUCGGAGGCAAAAUAUAUUUAAGGACAAUUAGAGCAACGUUUUUGGUGCUUUUGCUGUCACCUUGUUUGCAAGGUGGGACUCGGAAUUUAGGUGGACCACAGAGUGCAUAAUUUCCGAAAAAUGAUUCAGCUGACAAGUUUUUAAAAGACCCCUUAACAGGAAUUUCCCCUUCUAGCCUAUUAUGAGACACAUUAAAUUGUUUGAGAUGUGAAAGUGUCUCCAAUGACUUAGGAAUUUUUCCAGAGAGAUUGUUGCCAGAGAGAUCUAAGGAUUCUAAGCUUAUCAAACUACCAACUGAUUCAGGAAUAGGUCCUUGAAAUUGAUUACUAGCCAAUGAUAGAGUUUCUAUAUCUUUGAGGGCACCGAUGGUUGAUGGAAUAUCACCUGAUAAUUGAUUCCUUGAUAAAUCUAAAACUCUCAAGACCUUUAACUUUUGUACAUUGGAAGGGAGAGAAUCAUUUAACGAAUUUGACGACAAGUUUAUCUCUAAGAUGUACUCAAGGCUCCACAAGGAUGACGGUAUACUAGAAGUGAGCUUGUUGGAGCCUAAGUGGAGUUCUCUUAGAGAUGUCAGACUCGCCAAGCAUGGUGGUAUAUGUCCAGAGAGCUUAUUUCCAUUUAACAUUAUUCCGUACAUCAACUCCAAGUGGCAAAGAUCAUAGGGAAUGGAUCCUUCCAAAUUAUUUUCUUCAAGAGAUAAACCUUGUAGCCGCUUAAGUCUUCCCAUCGUUGGUGAAAUAGUUCCAUUCAAGUCAUUGAAGCCGAGGCUUAAGAGGAUCAGGCCACGCAACUUACCAAUUUCUUUAGGAAUGCUGCCCCCGAGUUUGCAGUUGGAUGCAUAAAAUUGUCGAAGAGAAGCAGAGAAAUUUCCAAUUACUGGUGGAAGGAUGCCACCCAAUGGAUUAUAAGCUAAGGCUAAAACUGUUAAAUUUCUGCAAUUAGUCAGAGAAGAGAGAAAACUCCACUGAUCUGCUGAAGAUGAUUCUGUCGUCAAGUUAUUAAAUGCUAAGCCAAGCACGCCGAGGUGUCUCAAGUUGCCAAAUGUAUUUGGAAUAUGGCCUGAGAAUGAGUUAAAGCUCAAUUCUAGGCCAAUGAGUUUAGAAGCGUUUGUGAUGGAGUUGGGAAUUUUUCCGGUAAGGUUAUUGGCCGCCAAGGUUAAAUACUCUAUGCUCGGAAGCGAGUGGCCAAUCGUUGAUGGUAAGUGGCCUGAAAGUUGAUUGCUAAUUAGAUUAAGGACUGUUAGGGUUGAAAUGUUGAAGAUUGUGGGUGGAAUGGGGCCACUUAAAUUAUUCGCACUAAGAACAAGGGUAUCCAAAUUUUGUAGAUUGCCAAUCUCAGUUGGAAUUUGACCUGUCAUAAAGAUAAACGCCAAAUUGAUGAGUUAUUGAGCUUUUUACUUAACAUAAAUUUUAAUUUCAUAACGCAUGAAAAUCAAAUUUGCCCACAAAAUGUGUGUUAUUAGUUUUAUAAUUUUUUUUUGGGUUUUUUUUGGGGGGGGGGGGGGGGAGAUUGAUAUUGCUACCUCAUAAUUUUUGUAAAACCCCACCCGCUUUCAGAGAAUUAUUGGAACAAGAUUCUUAAAAAAAUUCAAAUAAAGAAGAAGUUUGGAGAAAUAAUCAAUUAAAUCCAUCUUAAUAUACUUUUUGAAACUUAUAUUCUUUUAUCAUAUAUAAUAACUAAGGUUGCUUUAACAUAAAUUUAAUAUAACUAGUCUACUCUCAUAAGGUAGAAUUACUAAAAUACCCACAAAUUUACUUCAACUUCAACUAAACUAACAAAAUGUAUUUGUUGACAUGUGGGGAACUAAAAAUUAUUGAAUUUUAUUUUAGAAAUAUUGUAUUACAAAACAUAAAACAAAAUGCCGAAACUAUAUAUUAGAUACAAUAGUACAUGUUUUUCGGGGUAAUUUGGUCAUUUUAUAUUAUAAGAGUAAAAUAGUCAAAUUAAACUUAUUUUAAAGCAACCGUAAACGGUCAAAGAUUGUUAAAAGCCCUAAGUCAUAAAAGAAAAACAUUAUAAAAAUAAUUUAUUAAUUGUUCAGACUUAAUUUAUAAUUUUAUAACAUAAUGUGAACUUAUUAUAACUAUCUUUUCAAAAUGAGGUGGGUUUGCAAGAAUAAUGAGUGGAAAUAUCCCCACCCUAUAAAAUAAAAAGAAUUUUGCAGCUAUGCAAAUGCAAAUAUGUAGAACGUACCUUGUAGGUUGUUAUAACCUAGAUUCAGAAUGAAAAGGCUGCUAAAAUUUCCUAUCCCUGAAGGAAUAUUUCCAUCAAUAACGUUGUAGAUUGCGUCGAACACCUCCAGCUUCGAUAAAUUGAGGAGAGAAUUUGGGAUUGGACCCGUGAAACUGUUAUUAUAAAGCCUCAACGUUUGUAAUUUGGAUAAGACACCAAUCCAUGUUGGAAUGCUUCCACUCAAUUUAUUGAAACCGAAUCUAAUGAAUCUGAGUCGGCGUAAUUGCCCCAAUUCAUUAGGCAGAUGGCCAUGAAAAUUAUUAUGAGCAACAUCAAGAGAUACUAAGAACGUGAGAUUUCCCAAGUGUAGUGGAAUGGUGCCUCCGAGACCCAUAUCUGAAAGAUUCAAGGCAGUGACUCUUUGAUGGCGUGAACCACAAGAGAUACCAACCCAGCUACAUAUUGGAUAAGAUAUAGACCAAUUAUUUGUCAGAUCACUUCGAUAAUCAACGACACGGGCUUUGAAUGCAAGAAGAGCCGAUUGAUCUGUUGUUAAGUUGCUCAAAGUCGUCAUAGCUAAGCUAGCUAUGGAAUAUUGUACCAACAACAUAGGAACAAAGAAGAAUGAUAAGCACAUAUUGGUCGUUUUUUUUUAUAGAUGCAGCAAUCUAAUUGCUAGGUGAAGUUGAUACAAGUUUUAAGUGAAGGAAACUAGCAUAUACUUAUACAAGAGACGUAUGAAUUUGAAAACAAGAAAAGAAAAAAAUGUACAGGAGAGUGGAGACAUGCAAAUUGGUAUAUUUCAUCAUUGAGCGAGUCGUCCAAGUAAACUCAUACAGACCUGUAAAUUGUUAUAGGCCGCGGUACUUGAACCGUGAAUAAAGGGCUUAUGGCACUUGACUUACCAAAAAGAAGAAGAUGCUCAACAUUGGCAAGGCCUAUGCAUUCUGUCCAUUUGUUCACGUUUUGCCAAGGCUCAGGGCAACCACAAUAUGUUCUUUUUCUUCCCUCUUAAAACAAAAAACAAAAAAAAAAGACGACAUUUACAUUUGGGCUAAUAAUUAUAACUAAACAAUUAAUAAUACUGAGGGUCAGUGGUAAUGUAGCUUUAAAAUAAUUGUUAUUAGUUGUGUCUUAAAAAUAAAGAAAAAAAAUAACUAUACCCAUAUAAUUAAUAAAAUAAUCAUGUAAAUUCCUAAGCUUUUAACAAUAUACACCAAGACCCCCUACCGUUACUUUUUACCAUUUAUUUGGAUGUCACAUGCUUUUUUUUUUUAAUUUUCACAGUGGAUAUCAAAUGCUAAAUUUACUGUUAUUCCCAUAUCAUGUCAUCACUUGCUUCUACACACAUUGAUUGUUUUUCCAAAGUUUCAAAUUGAAUUAAAAACAUUCUAAUUAACCUAAAAAAAACUCAUCCAACCAGAUAUAAAUCAUCUAAUUAACCUAAAGAUAGCUACACCCCCAUAUUAAUUCCAAUUAAAUAAAAUUCAUUUUUGUCAUGAUUUUGGAUCUCGAGCAGGGUGGAUAUAUCCAACUAGAUCCGCCCCAUUGGCAUUCCAGUAUAUUCUGUAAUUGGAAGAGUAUGAAUGACUUAAUUUGUAAUUUUAAAUUUGUAACGUUCAAUUCUAAUUUGAGGAUUCAAAUGAAUUUAUGCGAAUCUAAAAGGGGACUGAAGAUUGGCAUGCAUACAUGCAUACAUAUACAUAUAUAUAUAAAUAGAGAGAGAGAGAGAGAGAGAGAGAGAGAGAGGUAAUAUAACAUUCUUCUUGAUGAAGAUUUUUGUGCCAUACGAAUUAAAGAGAGUAUUGUGUCGAUGUUCGAGGCUAGAGCGACAAUUGGUUACAUUGCUUCAGAGGUGUUUAGUAGAAACUUUGGUGAGGCAUCACAUAAUUUAAAUUACUAGAUUUAGCGAGAUAUAUAUAUUUUCCACAUUGGAUUUACAAGCAUUUCGAGCAGUAUAAUGAAUUAAAAUUACUCGGAAUUGUAAACAGCGAGGAAAGUGAAAUUGCUAAGAAGAUGAAUAUUUUGUUGUUUUGUGGUGUACACGGACUCGUCCAUCGGAUAGGUCGCCCAUGAACAGAGGGAUAGAAAUGUUAUUGCCAAGAAGCAGACUGACUAGCAGUGACGCUUUGAAAAGUCCACCGGACAUCGUCUCCUCCAAGACCACCAAUAGAUUCUUCCACCAUUUCAACGUCGUGACGUGGGGAUCGGAAUUGAAUUAUAGGAUGCUUGUAAGUUUCCUUUGUGGAACUUGUGAAUUUGUGAUGGCAAAAGUCAAUGAUGCAUGUAACUAGCUAGCCCGUGUAGACUCCGUUUUACACUUUUUCAAAACCCAAAAGCACGCUAAAUCUUAAUCUUAAAAGAAUUUUUGAUUCAGUGCUGAAUUUUGGGCUUAUCUUUAAGUAAUCUUUUACCACGCAUGCAUUUUUGUCAUUGUGCAGUCAUCGAUUGCUUCUAAAGAUCGUAAUCCUUAAGAAAAAAUUACUUCUCUUGAAAGUGAAAGCAGGGCAGCUAUUGGCGUAUUGCAUUGCAGCUGCUAUGUGUAGUAGUCAAUUCUUGGAAACAACUAGUUUUCUUAAAUUGUAAACGGUCCCCUUUAUGACUGGGAGAUUUUGAACAAAAUUAAUAUGACGAAUUCUUUGCAGGUGUUGUUCCUUGAAGUCUCAUCUUUCACAAUGUUUCUGAAAUAAAGAUAUUACCAUCUCUGAUUUAAUAUUUAUUCUUGAUUUGUACCACCUAAUCUGAACUUGAUGAAAGAAUAAAGAUUAUGAUCUUGCCUGAUUUUAUUAAUGUGGUCUUAUCUCACGUAAGUCAGUAAUGAAUUAAGGAAAAUUAUCAUUCGUAUACCCUAUAAUUGCUCUGUUAUAAAAAAUACUACAACACUUUGAGGGUGUAUCAAUUGUCCACCCUAAGUUAACAAAAUGUAUCUGUCAUCCACCAAACCGUUAUUUGCCGUUUAAAUAGAAUGACACCAGAGGGGUAAUUUUAUCUUUUCAUAUGAUACAAGUGAUAAUUUAAGGGUAUACAAGUGAUAAUAAAAGAAUUUAAAGGUAUACAAGUGAUAAUUUUAUUUACUUUAAUUUAAGUUUCAAGGGUAAAAUCGUCAAUUCACUAUAAUUCCGUUAACUUUCAAACGGUAGCUAACGGUUUGGUGGUCGGCAGAUAGCUUUUGUUAAUUUAAGGUGGACGAUUGAUAUACUCUCAAAGUGUUGUAGUAUUUUUGAUAAUAGAGCAACUAUAGGAUAUAUGAUUGAUAAUUUCCCAUGAAUUAAUUAAAGUUUACUGUCAAAUUACAAACACAAAAACUGCUGCUGCUUCAUUAUUCACAAUACCUAAAGUCAGUGCAGAACUUAAUAAGUUUUCCAAAAGUUUUACGCUUUCUUUCCCCCAAAUCCCAAGUACUUACUAGAUAUGUCAUGUUUAUACCCAAAGUCAGUGCAGAACUUACUCGAUAUGUCAUGUUUACACAAGAGUUUGUUUAUAAAUAAAUGAGUUGACAAAUAUUUGCCAAAAAAAACGGUGAGUGAUGUCUAGUUCUAUUUUCACAGUUCAGAGUCCAAUUUUGAUUACUGGAAAUUUUAAUUAUGAAGUUGAACUAAGAAUUUGUUAUAAUAUCUUCAACCUUCCUAUACAGUCAUCUGGAAUAAUAAUAUAUCAAAAACAGUAAUAACUCGAUUUACAGGGUGAGAAAGAAAAGAAAGACGCUACGAGGGAAGCAGAGAUUCAAAGACUUCGCCACUUUGUUGGAGGAACAAUUUCAUAAAUCUCCAGAAUAUUGACAUAAAACACAUAACAUACAUAUCUAGCAUUAAGUAUAUUUAUGUAUGUCCAAAGAUAAAAAUUUGAAGAUUAAAUUUAUCAUUUCAAUUUAUGUUCUGCCCAAAGCAAUGGCUUUUAUUCCACAAGCACAAACAAGAAAGAGUACGCACAAAGUUAACAAACACACAUAGCAAACGUGACAUCAACCACUUGCAGCAGCAUCAUCCAGAAACUUCACUCUAAUCUUCUUGAGCUUUUCAGCGGCGUCUUUCGUAGAUGCCCCCUGUUCUGGUGAUUCCAUGCAACAAUCCAAUGCCGAAUGCAUGAUGCUUAAUAAACAAUUCAUUUUAGGAGAAAAAACUUGCUCUUCUCUCACCAAGUUUGCAUCGACAACAUCACUCAAGGCACGAGGUAAUGACUCCCUUACCCAGUCUCUUAAACUUAUUUCUCCUGUAAACAUUUCAUUUGUGGGAUUCUUUCUGGUGAAAGUUUCCAUCAAUAAAACACCAUAACAAUAGACAUCACCUUUGGCCGAAAUCAUUCCUUCUAAUCCUUACUCUGCAUUUUUUUGGUUUCGAUAGAUCAAAUGGAUGUGACAUCAUAAAACAAAUGAUAAACAAAUAGUCUUUUGACAGUCAAGAUGGCCCAAACUUUGACUGUGCUUCGAAAAGAGCGAAAAUUUGAAAUUAUAAUUGAAACCUUACCUGGUGCCAUAUAACCAGUUGUAGCCACUGUCAUGAUUUGGGUCACAGAAUUUUCUUCAUCACCUAAGAGUUCGGAAAUGCCGAACUCACAUGUGCCACCAUAUUUUCAUCCAAGAGAAUGUUGCUAGGCUUCAAAUCACAAUGAAUUACAGGUGCUGAUGAAUGAUCGUGAUGGAGAUAUUCAAGUGCCAGCCGCACAUCUAUCAUUAUAUUCAACCUCUCUAGGAUAUCUAGGAAAUAGUUGUGUGAACACAACCAUUUCUCAAGACUACCAUUGAGCAUGAACUCAAGCACCAGUACUUUAGAAUCUGGAUUGCAACAGCUGCUAGUGAUCUUUGUGAGAUCUUGAUGACGAACAUUCCACAAUACUUCACAUUCAGAAUCAAAACUCCUAAAGGCUCUCUCUAGCUGCAGAUUGAAAACCUUUAUUACAAUAAUAGUCACAUCAUAAAGUGUGCCUUUAUAAACAGAUCCGAAGCUCUCCAUACCUAGCAGGAUACAUUCACUAAAUCCAUCAGCUGCUCGUUGAAUAUCAUGAUAGGAUAGUCUUCUCCAUGUUGUCGAAGAGAACAAAUCUUCUUUAUCUGGAGUUCUUGUUUUCCUAUUUUGAAAUAUUAUGAAGAAUCAUAACAAUUGUUAUUAGUGCAUUGGAUAUAAUCGAAGGCAAAGUAUAUUUCAGGACAAGCAGAGUAGCAUUCUUGGAUCCUUUGCUAUUAUCUUCUUUGCAAGGUGGGACUUGAAGGCCUGGUGGACCACAUAGUGCAUAAUUCUCAAAAAACGAUUGAGCUGAAAUGUUUUUAAAAGGUCCUUUGAUAGGAAUUCCCCCUUCUAGCCUAUUGUGAGACACAUUAAGUUGUUUGAGAUAUGAGAGUGCCUCCAUUGACUUUGGAAUUUCUCCAGAGAGAUUGUUGCUAGGGAGAUCCAAAGAUUCCAACCUUAUCAAACUACCAAAUGAUUUAGGGACCAGACCAUAAAAUUGGUUUCUAGCCAAGGACAAAGUUGCUAGAUCUUUGAGGCCACCAAUACUUACUGGUAUAUCACCUGAUAAUUGAUUUCUUGAUAAAUCAACUCUAUUAAGACCUUUAAGUUUUGUACAUCUGAAGAUAGAUGACCACUUAGAGAAUUUGUUGACAAGUUUACAUACAAGAUGUACUCAAGAUUCCACAAGGAUGAUGGGAUACUAGAAGUGAGCGUGUUGCAGCUUACAAAGAGUGUUUUUAAGGAAUUGAAUAUCUGAAAUCUUGUAUGUAAAUAUUAACACUUAGAGAAUUUGUUGACAAGUUUUUAAGGAUUUACUGAUUAAAUAAUUUUCCAAUUUGUUUGCCUGGAGGAAUUGAAUAGUUAACUGAUUAAAGGAUUUCAAGGUGGUUAGGUCCAGCCGAGCAUUGUAAAUAUUAACGGUCAUUAUGAAUGUGUAAUUCCUAUAUGUGAAAUUGAAUUUCCAUGGUAAAUUUCUGCUAGGGUGUGAUUGUAUGGUAGCCAAUUGUGAGCAACAGAUCCACAUAGUAAUAUAGACUGAAAUUUUGCGUCUUAAGCCAUGAAGAUAUAGAUUUUGGCAAAUAUUAUACAAGCAUUGUUUGCAACACCACAGCUAAUUUGCAGUAGGAUGAAACACUCAGAAUUUUGCCUUUUUCAUGUAUAAAAUUUUAUUUUUUUAAUUGUGAUAUUACAGUUUUGCCCAUCAAGCAUUAUGAAGCUUAAUAUUUGGAUAAAUGUUAGGUUUAAUCUAUAAAUUUUAACUUCAGUGUUUAUUUAGUUUUUAUAUUUUGUAAAAUAUCUCAAGGCAGCCCUAUUAUCAAAUAUUGGCUUGAUCCGUAUAUAUUAACUUCAGUGCUUUAUUUAGGUUUUAUAUUUUGAAAAAUACUUUAAGGCAGUUCUAUUAUCAAAUAUGUUAUGCUCUUGCUUUUAUUUUUUCUUUGUUUUUAUAAUAAUACUCUGAUAACAAUAUUUUUUUACAUUAAUUUUUUAAUCAAUAAAAAGGUAACUAGCAAAUUAACUGAUAAAUUAAUUUGUUAAUUUUUUUAAUCAAUAAAAAAUUUAAUUAAUAAAUUACUUGGUAGCAAAUUAAAAAAUAAAUAUUAGCAUAAAACAAUUGAUAUUUUUCAUUCUCUUACAACAAUCUUACUAAUAAUUUUUUUAUAAAAAAUUAAUUUAUUAAAUUAAUCCUUAAAAGUAAAAUAAUAAUAAUUAAUUUGUAUCUUAGUUUUAAAGUUAAUUUGAUAAAUUCAAUUUUUUAAUUAAUAUCUCCAAAAAUAUAGUUGCAACGAUAUUAUUGCAAAAGUAAAAAAAAAAAUAUAUAUAGAAUUUUAAUAUAACUGCCAGUAAAAAUAACUUGAAAUAUUUUUUAAGAUAUAAAAAUUAAACCAACACUUAAUUAAAAAUAUAAAGAAUUAAAUAAACAUUUAUCUUCUAACAUUUCAACCUACUGGCUAAUGGUCAUACAAUCGUGGUGUGGUCCGGGAUGCCCGGCCCAGCCCAUCAUGCAAAAAGCCAUGUCACCCAUAUUCUUAGGCUGCUACUGCAUUAAAAAAAUGAUAUUAAUAAGCGUACGCCACGUCACUCCUCACUCUCUUCUUCGUCACUUUCCUCUCACUCAACAUUUUCUCCCCAAACAAAUUCCUUCUUUGAAAAAUCGCAUUUUCUCCUUCACAGCAACAGCUACAAUGUCUUCAACUUCCAAAAAGGUGAUUUUUUUUUAAUUUUAUUUUUUGUUUAGUUUCUUUCUGUUGCCUUUUUGUUUCGUUUUUUGAAUUUUCUGUGUCGUUUUUUUCCCCCAAGGUUUUGGUGCCUGUUGCGAACGGGAGUGAGCCGAUUGAGUCCGUGAUAACGAUCGAUGUUUUGAGAAGGUCUGGAGCUGACGUCACGGUUGCGUCUGUGGAGAAACAGCUCCGUGUCGACGCGUGUCAUGGUGUCAAGAUUGUCGCUGAUGCUCUCGUGUCUGACUGCCGCGACGCCGUUUUUGAUCUUAUAGCUCUUCCCGUAUGUAUUGCAGCUCUCCUCAGCUCGUGCUAAUUUAUGUGAUGUUUGUAUAAUUAUAGAUGAUUACUGCUGAUACUGAAUGUUAAGCUAAAUAAUUCGUUCUUAAGUCAUCUUCAUUUAAUUUUCGAUUGAAAAUGAAAAAAAUAAUAAUUUUAAGCAAAGAAAAAUAUAGAAAAUGUUUAUUUUGUUUAAUUUUCAAUUUUUAAUUUUCAGGGAUUUCAUUAUUGUGACUGUUAUCAUUCAUUAUAUGGUCAUAGUUAAAUGUUUCAAAUUGUUGUAGUCAGUGAAAUUCUUUUCGAUAUUUAUUCUGGCAUGUAUAUUUUUCCUUUUCAAUUUCUUUUGUUGCUGAUUCUUUGAUUAUGUUAUAUCCUUUUUUGUUUCCCUUGUAGGGUGGCAUGCCCGGUGCUACCAAUCUGAAGGAAUCUGAAGUAUUAGAAAGCAUUGUGAAGAAGCAGGCCUCAGCUGGGCGUCUUUAUGCUGCUGUCUGUGCUUCACCUGCUGUGGCAUUAGGGUCUUGGGGUCUGUUGAAGGGAUUGAAGGUAAGAGUUAGAUAAGCCUUUUUGAUGUUUUGUGGUCUUUUGGGAAUUGCACUGAUAUUUUUGUUAUGGUUCAGUUUUCUUCUCGCUGAUGAUUGUUAAGUUCUAAUUUAUGUAGUUGUUCAUUUUUCCUAGGCUACUUGUUAUCCGUCAUUUAUGGAGCAACUAGCUCCUGCUUGUGCAGCAUGUUGAAUCAAGAGUACAGCAGGAUGGUAAAGUUGUUACGAGUCGUGGACCGGGCACUACCAUGGAGUUUGCCGUUGCACUUGUUGAGCAGUUGUAUGGGAAAGAGAAAGCUGAUGAAGUUUCUGGGCCACUGGUAUUAGCUUUUAUAGAUAACGUUGUUUAAAAAAAUUAUGAGUUAUAUAAUUUGUGGAAGCUUCAGAUGCUAAUGUAUUCAAGAAAAUAAGUUCAGGGGAAGAGUAUGACUUUUUGCAUUAGUGAUUCAUUAGAUGAAAUUGUAUACCUGCUGGUCCAUCAUAAGGUGGUGAAAACAAUGUUUGAUUUAAUUAAUGAAAUCCUGAAAUAUGCAUUUGUUGAGCUUCAAUGUCUCCACUGAUAAAAUUCUUUUUAAUGUAAGUUCUUUCUCUUGGUAUUGUAUUUGAAUUUUCUGUUCCUCAUGCUUUCGUCUUUACUGUCACCUUGUGCCUAGGUAAUGCGUGCAAAUCAUGGAGAUGAAUACACUAUUGCUGAGUUCAAUCCAAUUCAGUGGACAUUUGACAAUUCUCCUCAGGUGAGAUUGGACUGUUAGUUUCUUGUAUUUGUUUUUCUUCUUCCAUGUUUUGAGGGAUACCCAUUUGGCAGUAAAUAAAAAUCUGUGAUAUCUUCUAUACAUGUACAUAUACAUCAUUGACUUCACUCAUUUGUGAACAUAUUGGAGGUAGUAGAUUUAUUGUUAUGAUAUGUCUAAUAAAAUCCAAAGUUCGAUGCAACUACAAAAGAAGUAUGAGCAGUGCUCGACCAGAGAGGAAAAAGGUGGUUUUUUUCUUUUUUUUUUUUGGGGGGGGGGGGGGGGUUGGUUGGGUGGCAAAGGGAAUGAUAAGUUCAGGGUAUCAACAAGCUGUAAAAUGGCUAUCGAAAAACUGAUAUUUCACAUUAGAGAAUGUGAGGACCUGAAGAUUGCUGACUUGUGGUCAAAAUGGAAUUCUUGAUAACUUUAAAUGUUAAAAAUUCUUGGUGAAAAUUUUGUACUUUUUUUUCUUUCAGAUUCUUGUGCCUAUUGCGAAUGGUUCAGAGGAGAUGGAAGCUGUUAUAAUAAUUGAUAUUCUGCGACGAGCUAAAGCAAAUGUUGUGGUUGCGUCAGUUGAGGAUAAACUAGAAAUUCUGGCUUCUCGUCAAGUUAAAUUAGUGGCAGAUAUGCUUAUUGAUGAGGCAGCUAAACUUUCGUAUGAUUUGAUUGUCUUGCCAGUAAGUGGGGUUGCUAACUCUUGCCUCAUAGUCUUUACCAAAUUAUUGACUUACUAGCUACAAUUUAUCUAUGCACAGGGUGGACUUGGUGGUGCUCAAGCAUUUGCGAAGUCAGAAAAAUUGGUAAAUAUGCUAAAGAAGCAAAAGGAAUCAAAUAGACCUUACGGUGCUAUAUGUGCAUCCCCAGCACUAGUGUUGGAGCCCCAUGGCUUACUCAAGGUAUGACCAUUUCUGCUUAAAUAUUUAUUCUUGAUUUGAAUCACCUAAUCUGAACUUGAUAAAACAUUGUGAUCUUGUGUGAUUUUAUGAACGUGGUCUUAUCUCAUGUAAGUCUGUAAUGAAUUUAUUGAAGUUUGCUGACAAAUUACAAACUCAAAAACUGCUGCUGCUUCAUUAGUUACAGUACCCAAGGAGUUAUGAUAGACAUCCCAAACUUUUUACCCCAAAUUCCCUCUCAAAUGACAUGGUAGUUAUUAAGUGGUUGGUAAUUUUUUAUAAGAUAUAAGUGAAUUAAUUAAUUAUAUUAUUUAAUCAACCAAUUGAUGAAUGUCACGCCAUUUGAGAUGAAUUUUUGGGAUGUGUAGCAAAACUUUAUGCUGAUUUGUUUUGGCUACAUUCAUGUAAAACAUUUUUCCCCAAAUCCCAAGAACUUCCCGCAAUAUCAUUCCUUUGUAUUUGUUUUCCCCUUUAGACAUGUUUAACUUUGGUUCAGGGUAAAAAGGCUACGGCUUUUCCUGCCAUGUGCAACAAGCUAUCAGAUCAAAGUGAAAUCGAAAACAGGGUUGUGGUUGAUGGCAACCUUAUCACCAGCAGAGGGCCAGGAACUUCCAUGGAGUUUGCACUGGCAAUUGUGGAGAAGUUUUUUGGCCGCAACAAAGCACUUGAGCUUGCAAAGAUAUUGCUUUUCACCCGCACCUAAAAUUUGUACCAGGACCCGACUAAUAUUAAACUAGAGUGUUUAUUUCUGUAUUACUACUGCUUGUAGAGAGGCGAAAUGGAAACUUGAAUUCAUGUUUGAAUAGGGAUUCACUGUGCGGGUUUGUACAAGAGCUUGUUUAUAAAUAAAUGAGUUCAUAAAGAGUCAUUUUAAAUAUUUGGAAUAAACGUGAGUUGCUGUUUAGUUCUGUUUUCAAUGUUCACCGUUCAAUUGUGAUCCAGAGCAAUAUAACUACACUCACUGGGAAUUUUAAUUAUGAACCAAGAACGAAGUUGAACCGAGAAUUUGAUACUUUAUAUAUUCCAGUUACCAUAUUUAAGAAAGAGUAUUGAAAAGAAAGACGCUAAGAGAGAAUAUUGAAGUUAAACAGAUACCAUAUCUAGUAUUAAGUCUGUAUGCCAAAGUUACAAAUUCGAAGAUCAGAUUCCUCAUUUCAAUUUAUGUUCUGCUCAAAACAAUGGCUCUUAUUCCACAAGCACAAACAAGAAAGAGUACGAACAAAGUUAACAGAGACACGCAGUGAAAAUUACGCUAAUUGGUUGCAGCAGCAUCAUCCAGGAACUUCACUUUAAUCCUCUUGAGCUUUGCUGCAGCGUCUGUCAUAUUUAUCCUCAUGUCGGGUGACUCCAUACAACAAUCCAAUGCCAAAUCCAUUAUGCUUAAUAUACAAUCCAUUUUGGCAGAAAAAGCUUGCUCUUCUCGCACCAAAUUUGCGUCAACAACUUCACUCAAUCCGUGAGGUAAUGACUCCUUUACCCAUGUCCUUAAACUCGUUUCUCCUGUGAACAUUUCAUCGGUGGGCCUCUUUCUCGUGAAAGUUUCCAUUAAUAAAACACCAUAGCUGUAGACAUCACAUUUAGCUGAAACAAUUCCUUCUGAUCCAUACUCUGCAUUUUUUUUAAUUUCAAUUAUGAAACAAAUGAUAAAACAAAUAAGUUUUUGAUAAUUAAGGUAACCCAAACUUUGCUCGUACUUGAAAAAAGAGUAAAAAUUUUAAUUACAAUUGAAACUUUACCUGGUGCCAUAUAACCAAUUGUAGCCAUUGUCAUGGUUUGUGUCACAGAAUCUUCUUCUUCACCUAAGAGUUUGGAAAUGCCGAAGUCGCUCACAUGUGCCACCAUAUUUUCAUCCAAGAGAAUGUUGGGAGGCUUCAAAUCACAAUGAAUUAUAGGUGCCGACGAAUGACCAUGAUGGAGAUAUUCAAGAGCCGACCCCACAUCUAUCAUUAUAUUCAACCUCUCUAGAAUGUCUAAGAAAUAGUUGUGAGAAUACAACCACUUCUCGAGACUACCAUUUGGCAUGAACUCAAGUACCAAUGCUUUAAAAUCUGGAUUAGAACAACUGCUAAGGAUCUUUAUGAGAUUUCGAUGACGAACAUUCUGUAAAACUUCACAUUCAGAAUCAAAACUCCUAAAUGCUCUCUCUAGUUGCAGAUUGAAAACCUUUAUCGCAACAUCAGUCCCGUCGGAAAUGGUUCCUUUAUAAACUGAUCCAAAGCUACCUGUACCAAGCAAGUUACAUUCAUUAAAUUCAUCAGUUGCUCGUUGAAUGUCUAGGUACGAUGUUCUUCUCCAUGUUGCAAGAGAUAGGAAAUCUUCGUGAUCUGAUUUUCUUGUACUUCUAUUUCGGCAUCUUCUGUACAUAAUGAUGGUAAUCACUAUAAGGACCGUGGAUACUAUCGGAGGCAAAAUAUAUUUAAGGACAAUUAGAGCAACUUUCUUGGUUCUUUUGCUGUUAUCUUGCUUGCAAGGUGGGACUCGAAGUUUAGGUGGACCACAGAGUGCAUAAUUUCCAAAAAAUGAUUCAGCUGACUAGUUUUUAAAAGACCCCUUAACAGGAAUUUCCCCUUCUAGCAUAUUUUGAGACACAUUAAAUUGUUUGAGAUGUGAAAGUGCCUCCAAUGACUUAGGAAUUUUUCCAGAGAAAUUGUUGCCGGAGAGAUCUAAGGAUUCUAAGCUUAUCAAACUGCCAACUGAUUCAGGGAUAGGUCCUUGAAAUUGAUUACUAGCCAAGGAUAGAGUUUCUAGAUCUACGAGGGCACCAAUGGUUGAUGGAAUAUUACCUGAUAAUUGAUUCCUUGAUAAAUCUAAAACUCUCAAGACCUUUAACUUUUGUACAUUGGAAGGGAGAGAAUCAUUUAAUGAAUUUGACGACAAGUUUAUCUCUAAGAUGUACUCAAGGCUCCACAAGGAUGACGGUAUACUAGAAGUGAGCUUGUUGGAGCCUAAGCGGAGUUCUCUUAGAGAUGUCAAACUCGCCAAGCAUGGCGGUAUAUGUCCAGAGAGCUUAUUUCCAUUUAACCUUAUUCCGUACAUCAACUCCAAGUGGCAAAGAUCAUAGGGAAUGGAUCCUUCCAAAUUAUUGUCUUCAAGAGAUAAACCUUGUAGCUGCUGUAAUGUUCCUACAGAUGUUGGAAUAGUUCCGUUCAAGUCAUUGAAGUCGAGGGUUAAGAGGAUCAAGCCACGUAAAUUACCAAUUUCUUUAGGAAUGCUGCCCCCGAGUUUGCACUCGUAAGCAUAAAAGCUUUGAAGAGAAGCAGAGAAAUUUCCAAUUAAUGGUGGAAGGAUGCCACCUAAUGGAUUAGAAUCUAAGACUAAAUAGGAUAGCUUUCUACAAUUAGUCAAAGAAGAGAGAAAACUCCACUGAUCUGCUGAAGAUGAUUCUGUCGUCAAGUUAUUCGUUCGUAUGCUGAGCACGUUGAGGUGCCUCAAGUUGCCAAAUGUAUUUGGUAUAUGGCCUGAGAAUGAGUUAGAGCCCAAGUCUAGACCAAUGAGUUUGGAAGCAUUGGUAAGAGAGUCAGGAAUUGUCCCGAUAAGAUUAUUGAUCGCCAAGGUUAAAUACUCUAUGUUCGGAAGCGAGUGGCCUAUCGUUGAUGGUAGGCGGCCUGAGAAUUGGUUGCUGUGUAGAUUAAGGACUCUUAUGGUUGAAAUAUUGAAGAUCGCGGGUGGAAUGAGGCCACUUAAAUUAUUCGUACCAAGAGCAAGACUCUCCAAAUUUUGUAGAUUGCCAAUCUCGGUUGGAAUUUGAUCUGUCAUAUCGAUUAAACCAACAUUGAUGAGUUAUUGAAUUUUUUGCUAAACAUAAAUUUAAUUUCAAAAUUCAUGAAAAUCAAAAUUUCCCACAAAAUAUGUGUUAUUAGUUUUAUAAUAAUUUAGGGGGUAAUGAUAUUUCUACCCCAUGAUUUUUGUAAAACACACAUGCUUUUAGAAAAUUAUUACCGCAAGAUCACAUUAUUCUUAAAAAUUCAAAUUAAGAAGAAGUUUCUAGAAUUAAUCAAUUAAAUCCAUAUUAAUUUAUAUUUGAAACUUAUAUUCUUUUAUUAUAUUUAAGUACUAAGGUUGUUUUAACAUAAAUUUAAUUGACUAUUUUACCCUCCUAAGGUAAAAGUACUAAAAUCCUCAAAAAUUUACUUCAACUAAACUAACAAAAUGUAUUUAUGACCUAUGGGGCAUUAAAAAUAUUGAAUUUUAUUUUUAAAAUAUUAUAUUACAAAACAUAAAACUAUAUGCUAGAUACUAUAGUACAUGUUUCUUGGGGUAAUAUAGUCAUUUUACAUUAUAAGGAUGAAAUAGUCAAAUUAAACUUAACUUGAAGCACCCGUAAAUGCCAAAAAUUGUUAAAAGACCUAAGUCAUAAAAGAAAAUUAUUAUCAGAAUAAUUUAUUUAGUUAAUUAUCUGACUUAUUGUUAAUUUAUAAUUUUAUAAGCUAUUGUGAACUUAUUGCAAUUAUCUAAUGGAGAUGAGGGGGGGUUUUGCAAGAAUAUGAGCGGCAGUAUUGCCACUCUAUAAAAUAAAAAGAAUUAUGCAGUCAUGCAAAUGCAAAUAUGCUGAACUUACCUUGCAGGUUGUUAUGACGAAGAUCCAAAUCAAAAAGGUUGCUCAAAUUUCCUAUCCCUGAAGGAAUAUUUCCAUCAAUAACGUUGAAACUUGCUUGUAACAUCUCCAAUUUCGAUAAGUUGAAGAGAGAAUUUGGGAUUGGACCCGUGAUAUUGUUAUUACGAAGACUCAUUAUUUGUAAUUUGGAUAAGACACCAAUCCAAGUUGGAAUGCUUCCACUCAAUUUAUUGAAACUGAAACUAAUGAAUUUGAGUCGGCCUAAUUUCCCCAAUUCAUUAGGUAGAUGGCCAUAAAAAUUGUUCAAAGUAACAUCAAGAGACAUUAGGAAUGAGAGAUUUCCCAGGUGUGGGGGAAUAGUGCCUCCGAGACCCAUGCCUGAAAGAUUUAAAGCCUUGACUCUUUGAUGGCGUGAAUCACAAGAAAUACCAACCCAGCUGCAUAUUGGAUGAGAUAUAGACCAAUUAUUUGCUAGGACACUCCGAUAAUCACCGACGUGGGCUUUGAAUGCAAGAAGAGCUGAUUGAUCUGUUAAAUUGUUUAAAGUCGUCGUAGCUAAGUUAGCUAUGGAAUAUUGUAACAACAUAGGAACAAAGAAGAACGAUAGGCGCAUAUUGGUCGUUUUUAAUAGAUACAGCAACAUAAUUGCUAGGUGAGAUUGAAACAAGUUUGAAGUGAAGGAAAUUAGCAUAUACUUAUACAAGAGACAUGAAUUUGAAAACAAGAAAAGAAAAAAUAUACAGGAGACUUGCAAACUGUUAUAUUUUGUCAUUAAGCGAGUCGUCCAAGUAAACGCACGUAUGGACUUGCAAAUUGUUAAACGUCGCUGUACUUGAACCGUAAACAAAGGGUGUGUUUGGUUGGAGGAUUAAAAGUGGGGAUUAGACACUUUUUUUUUUUUUUAAAUUUUAUCCUUAUCUCAUGUUUGGUGCUGUCAAGGGUAUUAGGAUUUAGUUAUCUUGAACUCACAAGCUAAUCUUAAUUUUGUAAAGGAAAUUAUCCCAAGAGGGGUCAUGGGAUUAGUUAGUAUUGGAUUAUAUUGAUAACUCAAUUAAACAUAAUAAUUUAUAAAUAUUAAAAUUAUAGUAAUAUGUGAUAAAUGUAAUAAAAAAAUAUUGAUUUUAAUAAUGUAAAUAAUAAAUUAUACUAAAAAUCAUUAUUAAUUUCACAUUAAAUUAAAAUUCUAUUUUACUUUAUUUAAUUAUUAAAUAUUUUUUAUAAUUCCAAAUUUACGUUAUAAAUUAAUUAUUAAAUUAGUAUUCAAAAAGAUAAAUUUUUAUAAAAUAAUAGAUUAUUGAAUAAAUAUCAUAUAAAUAUCAUAUACAUAUUUAACAAAAUAAUAAUUAUUUAAAUUAUGAUUUCUAUUUCUUUAACGUCAUUGAGGUUGAUUUGUAUAAUUAAUAAUACAAAAUUUUAGUUUAUAAUAAUAUUAAUAAUAAUAAUAACUUGUAAAUUGUAAUAUUAUAAUGUAAAACAUGAUUAUUUAUAGUCCAAUCUAAUAUUGUACCAAACACAAUAUAGUAUUAUAUAUAAUCCACUAUUAUUCAAUCCAAUUCAAUUUUAUCCAAUUUAAUCUAAUCUAAUUCAAUCAAAUCCGGCGGACCAAACCAGCCCAAAGGGUUUAUGGCCCUUUACUUACCAAACAGAAAAAGAUGCUCAACAUUGACAUCUUUGACCCAAUCCAAAUCUAAUCCAUACAUCUGCGGAUCAGAUGCAGAUUUAACCUAAUCCAUAUCCAAUCCACCAUUUUACGGAUUGGUUUGUAGACUGAAAAAUAUUAUAAGAAUAAUUUAUUAAUUGUUCAGACUUAAUUUAUAAUUCUAUAAGAUAAUGUGAACUUAUUAUAACUAUCUUAUCAAAAUGAGGUGGGAUUGCAAGAAUAAUGAGUAGAAAUAUCCCCAACCGAUAAAAUAAAAAGAAUUUUACAGCUAUACAAAUGCAAAUAUGUAGAACGUACCUUGUAGGUUGUUAUAAGCUAGAUUCAGAUACAAAAGAUUGCUAAAAUUUCCUAUCGCUGAAGGAAUAUUUCCAUCAAUGACGUUGUACGUUGCGUGUAACGCCUUCAGCCUCGAUUAAUUGAAGAGAGAAUUUGGGAUUGGACCCGUGAAACUGUUAUUACGAAGACUCAACACUUGUAAUUUGGAUAAGACGCCAAUCCAUGUUGCAAUGCUCCCACUCAAUUUAUUGAAAGUGAAACUAAUGAAUAUGAGUCGGCGUAAUUGCCCCAAUUCAUUAGGUAGAUUGCCAAGAAAAUUGUUCAGGCUAACAUCAAGAGAUUCAAAUGAAUUUUUGAUGGCGCGAACCGCAAGAAAUGCCAAUCCAGGUACACAUUGGAUAAGAUAUAGACCAAUUAUUUGUCAGGAUACUUCGAUAAUCAACGACACGGGCUUUGCAUGCAAGAAGAGCCGAUUGAUCGGUUGUUAAGAUGCAAUAGUGAGUAGUGAAAGUGGUUUGAGGUGGAGAUGCACCGGGAUCUACGGCCAUCCUGAGUUCAGCCAGAAGCAUAAUACUUGGACUCUCAUGAAAAGGUUAGCCAGCCUAUUUUCCUAUCCUUGGUGCUGUUUUGGUGAUUUUCAAUGAGAUAAUGCAUAUGCAUGAGAAAAACGGGGGCAAUGAGAGAAACCUGAAUAGGGUUGCCGAGUUUAGGGAAGCUGUGCAAAGCUGCAAUUUGCAGGAUAUGGGGUGUAAGGGAUAUCCCUAUACGUGGUCAAACAAAAGAUACAGAGAUCAUUUUAUUGAUGAGAGAUUGGACCGUUUUCUGUGUAGUAAAGAUUGGGGGAUUAAUUUUCAAGAAUCUGUAGGCACAAAUCUAGUGAACUGGUCUUCGGACCACUGCCCAAUCAUUCUAGAUUUCCAUGAGCGAAGCCAAAAUUCGAGACAUGCGGGCAAAUCUCUCCCCCGAGAUUAUUAUGAGGAUAUGUGGAGCUCCCACGAAGGCUGUAGGAGUAUAGUCCAGGAAGAGUGGAGCCGGUAUGGGGCUAGAGCUUGGGAAGCCCCUGUUCAGCAAUUUCAAUGAAUAGCCAAAUCUUCCUUGGCCCAGCUAAAACUUUAGAGCAAAACCGAAUUUCAUGGUAGGCAAAGAAAGUAAGAAAAGCUUAUGCAGAGCCUCCAGGAUGCUAUGAGAGGGAAUUCAAAGCUGGAUGAUGGCCAGGAAAUUAGGAGAUUGGAAAGUCAGAUUAACUCUAUGCUAGUUGAUGAGGAGAUUUACUAGAAACAGCGUUCGAGGGCCGACUGGCUUAGAGAAGGGGAUAAGAACACGAAGUAUUUUCACGCCAAAGCAUCUGCCCGCAAAAGGAAGAACAAGGUGUGGGGGAUUGAGAAUGACCAGGGCAUUUGGUUGAAGGAAAGGGAUGAAAUAGAGGAGGAGAUUUGCAGCCAUUUCCAAAAGCUUUUCACUACUUCCAGCCCGACUCCAAGCCAAAUCCAAGCAACCCUUCAAGGCAUGACAACAAAAGUAACUCCGGAGAUGAAUGUUCAGCUGGAGAAGCCGUUCACCGCUGAAGAUGUUGAGGAAGCCCUUGCCAACAUGUGUCCCACAAAGGCCCCAGGGCCUGAUGGUCUUCCAGCUGCCUUCUUCCAGAAGCAUUGGAAAUCUGUCCGUAACAGAGUGAUCUCAACGUGCCUUAAUGUCCUUAAUGAGCAAGGUAACCCAUCUACCCUCAAUCACACCUUUAUAGCUUUGAUUCCAAAAAUUGCAAAUCCUAGGAAAGUGAGUGAUUAUAGACCUAUCAGCCUCUGUAAUGUUAUUUAUAGAGUUGUAGCUAAGGCCAUUGCAAAUAGAAUGAAGCCGAUCUUUUCCCAAAUCAUCUCCCCUAUGCAAAGUGCAUUCAUCCCCAAUAGGCUCAUUACCGACAAUGUUAUUAUUGGUUAUGAAUGCCUUCAUAAAAUUAGGCAUAGCAAAGGGAAGAAGAACGGACUUGUAGCUUUAAAAUUGGAUAUAAGUAAGGCUUAUGAUAGAGUUGAGUGGCCUUUUUUGGAACAAACUAUGCUAAAGAUGGGGUUUCCUAGUAAUUGGGUAGCUCUGAUAAUGAGAUGUGUUAUUUCCACUUCAUUCUCGGUGCUAAUUAAUGGUGUGCCAAAAGGAAUGAUCCAGCCAAAAAGAGGCUUGCGACAGGGCUGCCCGCUAUCCCCGUACCUUUUUAUCCUUUGUGCAGAGGCUCUCUCCAAUUUGCUGGUUGUGGCAGAACAGAACCAGCUAAUCCAAGGGCUCAAAUUUGCGCGGGAAGUUUCAAUUACGCACUUGCUGUUUGCGGACGAUAGCUUGGUAUUCUCUCGUGCAUCAGUGGCUGAAUGCAGGCAUUUAAAAGAAAUGUUUGAUAAAUAUGCUGCAGCAUCAGGGCAGAUUUUUAAUUUUCAGAAAUCCUCACUGUUCUUCAGUGGAAAAAUUCCAGAGCAUCAACGGGCUGCUAUAAGGGGUAUCUUUAAUCUAAAUGUAGUCUCAAAGCAUGAGAAAUACCUUGGCCUACCAUCAAUGAUUGGGAGAAAGAAGAUGGGGUUCUGUAACGACAUCAAGCUGAAAGUGUUGAACAAGAUUGCAGGAUGGCAGCAUAAAAUGUUGUCUAGUGGGGGGAAGGAAGUUCUGAUCAAAGCGGCAGCCCAAGCAAUUCCGGCGUAUGCAAUGAGUGUUUUCAAGCUCCCAAGAGGCUUUUGUGAUGAUAUUCAGCGAGCUAUAGCGAAGUUCUGGUGGGGCUCGAAAGGGGAUAAGCACGGAAUCCAUUGGCGAAAAUGGGAGAAGCUCAGCCAGGCAAAGAUUAGAGGGGGGCGGGGAUUUCGAGAGUUUUCUUGCUUCAAUCAAGCGCUGGUAGCUAAGCAAGCUUGGAGGUUACUGCAGUACCCAAAUUCGCUGGUCUCCAAAGUCCUUCAAGCAAGAUAUUUCAGGAAUUCCAGCUUUUUAUGUGCAAAGGCAGGAGCCAAUGCCUCGUAUAUUUGGAGAAGCAUCAUGUGGGGUAGGCAGGUGAUUAAGAAGGGUAUGAGAUGGCAGAUAGGUAAUGGCAAGAAGGUAGCAAUUUUCUCGGAUAACUGGCUGCCAAGACCAGAGACCUUCAGACCUAUCUUCCCUCCAUCUUUGCCCGUAAGCUCAGUUGUUGCAGAUUUAAUUAAGGCUGAUAAUCAAUGGGAUGAAAUAAAGCUUCGACAGCACUUCAUGGAUGUAGACACAGCAGAGAUCCUCAAGAUUCCCCUCCCAACUGAGAAAGAAGAAGAUGGAGUGCUUUGGGAUUACGACAAAAGAGGGAACUACUCUGUCAAGAGUGGGUAUCAGCUAGCAUUGAGAUCAAAAUUUCCAGAUUCCACCAGCUGCACAGAGGCUUCCCACAAGUACUGGAGUGCCCUUUGGACACUGGAGUUGCCUGCGAAGCUUAAAAUUUUCAUGUGGAGGGCCUCUAAUAAUCUGCUUCCAUCGGUGGAAAAUCUGUGGAAAAGGAAGGUAGUGGAGGAGCCAACUUGUAAGCGAUGCAAACUGAGUGUUGAGACUAUCAGCCAUGCUCUCUUGGAGUGUAAGGUAGCGAGAAAAAUUUGGCUCCAAUCCCCCUUUUCAGGCCUUAGAUUAGAAGCCAAUUCUCAGGACAUUUUCAGCACUUUGCAAAAUAUGGCUAAGGAGAUGAGGAAAUCAGAUCUGGAAUUAAUGGUAGCUCUGUGUUGGUCUGCCUGGUAUGCUAGGAACAAAUGUAUCUUCGAUGGCAGGGAGAUUAAUCCUAUUAUAUCAGCUGCUAAAGCGGAGUCUGUUUUGUCAGCUUUUCAGAGAGUUAGGAAGCCCCAGCAAGCUCACAUCUCUAUCUUCAUAAAAGAGAAGCAGCAGGAGUGGCUCCCCCCUCCCCCGAAUGUUUUUAAAGUUAAUGUGGAUGCUGCUCUUAAUUCAAAGAAUCUGAGUGCAGGAGUGGGAACUGUGAUUAGAGACUCUAAUGGAAAGAUAGUUGCGGCUGGGGUAAAUCAGAACCUCCUAAAGGGGUCAGCUAGCUUGGCUGAAGCAGAGGCGGUGCUUUGGGGCCUUCAGCUGGCGAGAAAGGCGGAUGUAUCCUCUUUGAUUAUUGAGUCUGAUUGUUUAGAGGUGGUCCAGCUAGUGAACAACACCAAGGGCAGCAGAUCAGAAAUUUUUUGGACAAUUCUGGCAAUCCAAAACCAGAUGAAGAACUUCCAGAAAGUGGUUGUCAAUCACAUUCCAAGACAUUGUAAUGCUUGUGCCCAUUACCUAGCUAAGAUAGCUUUGGGGAAAAUCUCUCCCUGUAUGUGGCUGGGAAAUAUUCCAGCUGAAUUGUAUGGUAUUAUCAAGGUGUUGUGAUUAAUGAAAGGUUUACUUUCUUUUCAAAAAAAAGAAGAAUGAUAAGCGCAUAUUGGUCUUUUUUUUUAGAUGCGUCCAUCUAAUUGCUAAGUGAAGUUGAUACAAGUUUUAAGUGAAGGAAAUUAGCAUAUGCAUAUACAAGAGGCGUAUGAAUUUUGAUAACAAGAAAAGAAAACAAUAUACAGGAGAGUGGAGGCUUGCAAAUUGUUAUAUUUCAUUAUUUAGCGAGUCGUCCGAGUAAACGCGUAUAGACUUUUAAAUUGUUAUACGCCGCCGUACUUGAACCGUGAAUAAAGGGCUUAUGGCACUUGAGUUACCAAAAAGAAGAAGAUGCUCAACAUUGGCAAGGCCUAUGCAUUCUGUCCAUUUGUUCACGUUUUGCCGAGGCUCAUGGCAACCACAAUAUGUUCUUUUUCUUUCCUCUAAAAAACAAAAAGACGACCUUCACAUUUGGGCUAAUAAUUAUCACUAAACAAUUAAUAAUGCUGAGGGCUAGUGGUAAUGUAGCUUUAAAAUAAUUGUUAUUAGUUGCGCCUUAAAAAUAAAGAAAUAAAGAUAGUUAUACUAUACCCCCACAAUUUAAUAAAAUAAUCAUGUAAAUUUCUAAACUUUUAACAAUAUACACCAAGACCCCUUAUGUUACUUUUUACCAUUUAUUUGGAUGUCACAUGCUUUUUUUUUUUUUUUUUUAAAUUUUUCACUGCAGAAAUUAAAUGCUAAAUUUACUGUUAUUCCCAUAUCAUGUCAUCGCUUGCUUCUACACAUAUUGAUUGUUUUUCCAAAGUUUAAAAUUGAAUUAAAAACAUUCUAAUUAACCUAAAAAUUAAAAAAAAAACUCAUCCAACCAGAUAUAAAUCUUCUAAUUAACCUAAAGAUAAGCUACACCCCCAUAUUAAUUCCAAUUAAAUAAAUCUUCAUUUUUGUCAUGGUUUUGGAUCUCGAGCAGGGUGGAUACAUCCAACCAGAUCCGCCCCAUUGGCAUUCCAAUAUAUUAUGGAAUUGGAAGAGUAUCAAUGACUUAAUUUGUAAUUUUAAAUUUGUAACGUAUAAUUCUAAUUUAAGGAUUCAAAUUAAUUUAUGCGGAUCUAAAAGGGGACUGAUGAUGGGCAUGCAUACAUACAUGCAUACAUAUAUUUACAUAGAGAGAGAGAGAGUGAGGUAAUAUAACAUUCUUCUUGAUGAAGAUUUUUGUGCCAUACGCAUUAAAGAGAGUAUUGUGUCGAUGUUGGAGGCUAGAGGGACAAGUGGUUACAUUGCUUCAGAGGUGUUUAGUAGAAACUUUGGUGAGGCAUCACAUAAUUUAAACUACUAGAUUUAGCGAGAUAUAUAUAUUUUCCACAUUGGAUUUACAAGCAUUUGGAGCAGGAUAAUGAAUUUAAAUUACUCGGAAUUGUAAACAGCGGAAAGUGAAAUUGCUAAGAAGAUGAAUAUUGUUGUUUUGUGGUGUAUACGGACUCGUCCAUCGGAUAGGUCGCCCAUGAACAGAGUGAUAGAAAUGUUAUUGCAAAGAAGCAGACUGACUAGCAGUGACGCUUUGAAUAAAUCCACCAAACAUCUUCUCCUACAAGACCACCAAUAUAUUCUUCCACCAUUCAACGUCGUGAUGUGGGGAUCAGAAUUGAAUUAUAGGAUGCUUGUAAGUUUCCUUUGUGGAACUUGUGAAUUUGUGAUGGCAAAAGUCAAUGAUGCAUGUAACUAGCCGGCCCGUGUAGAGGCCGUUUGACUCAUAAAUAUUUGUCACUUUCACUCUUUUUCAAAACCCAAAAGCACGCUAAAGCUUAAUCUAAAAAGAAUUUUUGAUUUAGUGCUGACAUUUUGGGCUCACCUUUGAGUAAUGUUUUACCACGCAUGCAUUUAUGUCAUUGUGCGGUCAUCCUUUACUUCUAAAGAUCGUAAUCUUUAAGAAAAAAUUACUUCUUUUGAAAGUGAAAGCAGGCCAGCUAUUGGCGUAUUGCAUUGAAGCUGCUAUGUGUAGUAGUCAAUUCUUGGAAAGAACUAGUUUUCUUAAAUUGUAAAUGGUCCCCUUUAUGACUGGGAGAUUUUGAACAAAAUUAAUAUGAUGAAUUCUUAGCAAGUGUUGUUCCUUGAAGUCUCAUCUUUCACAAUGUUUUUGAAAUAAAGAUAUUACCAUCUCUGACUAAAGAUUUACUCUUGAUUUGGACCACCUAAUCUGAACUUGAUGGAUGAUUAUGAUCUUGCCUAAUUUUAUGGAUGUGGUCUUAUCUCACGUAAGUCAGUAAUGAAUUAAUUAAAGUUUACUGUCAAAUUAUGAACUGAAAAACUGCUGCUACUUCAUUAUUCACAAUGCCCAAAUUCAGUGCAGAACUGAUUAUAAGUUUUCCGAAAGUUUUACGCUUUCUUUCCCCCAAAUCCCAAGUACUUCCUGUAAUAUCAUUCCCCUAUAGAUGUCUUCCCCUGAGACAUUUUUAACUUUGGUUCAGGGUAACAAAGCUAUAGCUUUUCCUGUCGUGUGCAACAAGCUAUUAAAUUAGAGUAUUUAUUUCUGUAUUACUACUAGUAGUAAGAGAGGCGAAAUGGAAUCUUGAAUUCAUGUUUAUACAACAGUUUGUUUAUAAAUAAAUGAGUUGAUAACAAGUCAUUUUAAAUAUUUGCAAAAAAAAAAACGGUGAGUGAUGUCUAGUUCUAUUUUCAAUGUUCAGAGUCGAAUUUUGAUUACUGAAAAUUUUAAUUUAUGAAGUUGAACUAAGAAUUUGUUAUAAUAUAUUCCACCUUCCUAUACAGUCAUCUGGAAUAAUAAUAUAUCAAAAACAGUAAUAACUUGAUUUACAGGGUGAGAAAGAAAAGAAAGACGCUACGAGGGAAGCAGAGAUUCAAAGACUUCGCUACUUUGUUGGAGGAACAAUUUCAUAAAUCUCCAGAAUAUUGACAUAAAACACAGAACAUAUCUAGCAUUAAGUAUAUUUAUGUAUGUCCAAAGAUAAAAAUUCGAAGAUUAGAUUUAUCAUUUCAAUUUAUGUUCCGCCCAAAGCAAUGGCUUUUAUUCCACAAGCACAAACAAGAAAGAGUACACAAAGUUAACAAACACACAUGUUGAUGCGAGAUUCUGGUUGUCCUCGUUCUACGACCAGGGUCUCUGCUCGAUCAACUUCACCACGACCAGGAUCUCUCCUCGUAAAGCUUCUUCUCCAGAGGUUCCUGCGCACACAGACAGGUCAGAGUACGCCGGUUUUUUUCCCGGCGCAAACCCUCCAACGCUCAAGUCAGAAAUAGGGGUUCUGGGAAUGUUUGCCACGAAUCUUAUGGCUUCUUUUUAAUCUCAGUUCUCGGAACUUUCUUUUCUUAGUUCUAAUAGCAAAAAGUCUAACCCUUUUACCUUUGCUGGCUACUUUUUUAUAGGCUUCCUCUGAAUCCCGGUCUUCCGUAGUCCACGCCCAUUACUCUUCCCACCCUCGGAUGUGGAUGCCCCAUUGUCGUCAUUGUGGGCGAAUGGAGAUGGACUUCGUGCCUUGAUUCUCGGAUAGGAACGCACGUCUUGCCAACUGUCGUUGACCGGGUCUCCUCGCCUCGACCCCUAGCAGGAAUGGCCUUAUGCCUCUAACAGGAGUUCGUCCUCGUGAAUGGCAUAUUUGUGGACGAGCAGAAUAUUCCUGCUCCUGUUCCCUUGCUACCAGGCUCUUACAGGACAUACCUGUUCGCAGAACUCUGCCACCAAAUAUAUGCUCAUCAUGUCUGGUCUCGUCGAAGUAUUUCCCUCAAACACCGGUCCCCCAGUUUCUGGUGUUGGGUAAUGUAAUGGACCAGCAGUAGAAACUCAACAGUUCUUGCUCGCGUGAGACUUGAAAAGGCUGCCAAGAGUCGUGUCGCAUUUAAUUGCGGAUGCAGUGAUGUGGCAGAAAUCUACCCCUUCGUUUGAAUUUCAAACCUACGGUUGCAAGAUUCUCAGAAUCUGCGUCAUUAAAUGCUGGCAGCCCAAAAGUUUGCUUCUCAGUAAGAAAACCCAAAAUCCUCAAACACGAACUCGUCAUUUUCUCCAUUCCUGUCUCUCCGGCUAAUGAACCUCGGCAUUAAAGCUUUCAUCCCUGUCUCUCUCUGAGCGAGUCCCUGCUUCAGGUAUUUCUUCUAUCUUCACGGUCUCGGUUAGUUGUAGAUAAUUUCUUUUCUCUUUGCUUUGCUUGGGGUAGUAUCUGGUAGUGGUGUUUUGGUUAUAACCUAGGGAAUGUCGAAGGGUAAGGAGAAAGUCGUUGAUAUUGAUGACGACGAACUAGGUUUCUUGCCUAGUCUGCUCACUGAUUCUGCUUUUGGCCCCGGGAUCCCCUUAGAGCCCACUAGGUCUAGUGUUGGGACUAGCGCUAGGAGGAUGUCCCCCCAAACAACCUCCACGAGCGGAAGUAGUGGCGAGGAGGGACCUUCUGGCUCGGAAGACACCCUAAGUGAGGAUCAAUGAGGUGACUCUGGUGAGGGAUCUUCACCGGGAACACUGCGACCAGAAGGGUGUAGUACAGUAGGAGGUAGAGCCUUGUCGCGGGAUUAUGCUAUUGAUUACAUGACCUGCACGACCACAUUCAACGAGCUGGAUGACCUCCGGCUCAGGUAUCAUAUUCCUGGUGAGGUACUCCUUAGGAUCCCAGGAAAGAAAGAUAGUCUUAGCAGGCCUCCUAGGGGAUUUGUCACCUUGUUCUUGGAGAGUUUUAAGUACGGGCUAAGGUGCCCCUUGCAACUCUAUUUUGCUCGCAUACUCCACGGGCUCAAUCUAGCUCCUGGUCAGUUGAACCCCAAUGGGUGGAGGGUGCUCUUUGGUCUGUUCAUAUUGUGGGACAGAUGUUGCCAAAGCGAGCCCACGGUUGAUGAGGUGAAGCACCUGUACCAGCUAAGGAGUAGCCCCAAAGAUGCCGGCUGGUACUACUUCCAAUCUAGUACCAAGAGUAGGAAACCCAUAACUGAUCUUCCAACUGGUGGUGGUGGGACUUGGAAGAGGAAAUUCUUUUUUGCUGGGGGUCCUUGAGGUCAAGUUGCACAAAUAGACGGGAAGGAUUGUCGCGUCCCACCCCGUUUCACGGUCCCAGGUUGCCUGCUCACUUUAGAUGUCUUGUAUCCAUAAUUGUUCUUACUUUAUUGGUUUGUCUCUAACCAAGUGUCUGUUUGUGUUGUAGUUUCUUGGGGUGUUCAUUUUCCGCUCAAACCUGAUCAGCUCAAACGGGUCGAGGCUGUACUAGCCAACUCCUGCCCGAGCCGAGAACUGAUAACUAUUUAUAACUUCCUCGAGUCUCGCUUGGUACUCCCUGGCCAUAAGAUGGAGGACGCUGUGAUUGGGGCUCUGAACAGGAAACGUUCUCGACCUCAAAACACGAAGAGGGACCAGAACAAGGACGCCCCUAGGGCAAAGCGGACCAACAUCGUGCAGCAAGUCUCUCCCUUGAAGACUUUACCUCCUGCUCCUGCCAAAGUCAGCGAAACUAGUGGAGCAGCCACAGAUCCUGCUUCCUCUUCUCCUCCUGUCGGGCCUCGAUCUCGCUUUCCUGACAGCCGAGCAGAACACUUGGUCCCCUAUCUCAAUGAGUUAUCUAAACUCGUGAGCAAGAAGGACCUGGAGGACUUUAAUGGCUGCACCCUGGGCGAGCUGGUAGGAGCCAUGCAGUAUAGUGCUUUCCAUCUCAGCUGCAUGACCACCUAUUAUAAGGCUAAGGUUGGCCGUUAUGACAGGAAGAUGAAGGAGGACAUUCAAUCAGCGAUGACCAGAGCUGACGCCGCCGAGAAGAAAGCAGGAGAGCUAAAUGUCGAGAACCUGAAGCUGAUAGAGCAAGAAUCUCUUGCUCAAGCAAAAGCCAUUACCCUCGAGGAGGAGCUGACCAAGGUCAAGGAGGAUCUUCAAAGGCAGAAGGCAAUGUAUGAGGCUCAGCUCGAAUCUCUCCGCGAUUCCCAUCGAGCUCAGGUCGAGAACUUGGAGAAGGAGGCCGACAACCAGUACGACCAGGGACUUCGGCAUUCCUAUCGUUGCAUCAUGGCCGUCCUCGGGAAGCAGCAUCCUGAUCUAAAGAUGGACGACCUUGCAGCUGGUGUCGCCCAACAUAUGGACGAGGAGGCUGCAAAGGAGGAUGCCGAAGGGGUAGACGCAAUCGUGAUUGAGGAGGAAAACUCUCCUCCUCAUGUAGACCCUGCUGACGUUGGCGAGGCGAGCACCCCCCCGGACGCAACUGGUGAUACCCCCCCUGCACCUGAGGAGGUCCAGCCAACCGAUGCUGCUCGGCAUACUGAUCCGCCAUCUUCUUGAACUUAUCUUGUGCUGUAAUUGCUUUUUGAAUAUUCUAUAUAACAGCUUUGUAAACUUUUAAGAGCUUAAUAAGAUUGUUCUUAUUUGCUUCCUCGCAUUGGUAUUUUAAUUUAUUUAUCUAUUUGGCUUCUGUCCUCGUCACAGAGGAGGCCUUGAAGUUUGACGAGCCUUUGCCUGUCUUGGAUAAUUUCUUCAAUGAUUGGGAUUCUGCUCGCCUUCGCGUGGUCGAGCAGAUCCUGGCACGCUUGGCUUUUGGUCUCGCCAUAAACAGGCUUUGAGACUCGACGAGCCUUUGCAUGCCUUAGUUUCUUCAAGGAUUGGGAUUCUGCUCGCCUUCGUGUGGUCGAGCAGAUCCUGGCACGCUUGGCUUCUGGUCUCGCCAUAAACAGGCUUUGAGACUUGACGAGCCUUUGCAUGCCUUAGUUUCUUCAAGGAUUGGGAUUCUGCUCGCCUUCGCGUGGUCGAACAGAUCCUGGCACGCUUGGCUUCUGGUCUCGCCAUAAACAGGCUUUGAGACUCGACGAGCCUUUGCAUGCCUUAGUUUCUUCAAGGAUUGGGAUUCUGCUCGCCUUCGCGUGGUCGAGCAGAUCCUGGCACGCUUGGCUUCUGGUCUCGCCAUAAACAGGCUUUGAGACUUGACGAGCCUUUGCAUGCCUUAGUUUCUUCAAGGAUUGGGAUUCUGCUCGCCUUCGCGUGGUCGAGCAGAUCCUGGCACGCUUGGCUUCUGGUCUCGCCAUAAACAGGCUUUGAGACUUGACGAGCGUUUACAUGCCUUCAAUUCUUCAAGGAUUGGGAUUCUGCUCGCCUUCGCAUGGUCGAGCAGAUCUUGGCACGCUUGGCUUCUGGUCUCGCCAUAAACAGGCUUUGAGACUUGACGAGCCUUUGCAUGCCUUCAAUUCUUCAAGGAUUGGGAUUCUGCUCACCUUCGCGUGGUCGAGCAGAUCCUGGCACGCUUGGCUUCUGGUCUCGCCAUAAACAGGCUUUGAGACUUGACGAGCCUUUGCAUGCCUUCAAUUCUUCAAGGAUUGGGAUUCUGCUCGCCUUCGCGUGGUCGAGCAGAUCCUGGCACGCUUGGCUUCUGGUCCCGCCAUAAACAAGCUUUGAGACUUGGUGAGCCUUUGCAUGCCUUUGAUAAUUUCUGGAAAGCUUAGGAUUCUGCUCACCUUCUCGUGGUCGAGCAGAUCCUGGCACGCUUGGCUUCUGGUCUCGCCAUAAACAGGCUUUGAGACUUGGUAAGCCUUUGCAUGCCUUUGAUAAUUUCUUGAACAGUGUAGUUGAUUCAAACUCCUCAUUGAUUCAUUUAUUAUUGAAUUCGGCUUACAUGAGGUUGCUUUGAAAUAAGAAAUAAAAAAAUAGAAAACAACAGACAUGAACAGAAAAAAAACUUUAAAACAUGAGUAAGUCUUACUAGAAAUAUUUCCUGAGGUGUGCCGCGCUCUAGGGGCGUUUCACCUCGUGGCCCUCCGUGCGAACCAACUUGUAAACUCUGGGUCCAACUAGCUGCCAUUCCUGGCUUCCACUCGGGUAUCAAAGGAUGUUAUCUGCAUUGCUUCCUUUGUUGCCGAGGAGUAACAGCUUCGUGCGAUUCUCUGGUCUCCUCGUACCACUCCAACUACCCCAUUCACCCGGUACUUGAGAGCCAGAUAAUGGUUGGACAGCACCGCUUUGCUCAUCCUCAGAAAUGGCCGGCCUAGGAUCAUCUGAUAAGGACCUUCCUCAUCCACUACCACAAAGUCCAGUAUCAUUGUCCUUUCUGUCGGGGAGCUCCCAAUCGUGAUAAGUAGCUCGACCACGCCCAGAGGGACCAACUUUCCUCCUCCAAACCCCUUCAAGGAGGUAUUGGUGUAAUCCAACUUCAGGUCUGCUAUUCCCAUUUCCUCCAGGGUUGACUUAAACAACACAUCAACUGAGCUCCCUGUGUCAACCAGUAUCCUGUCAAACUUCUUGCUGGCAACAGUGGCCUUGAUGACCAAAGCAUCCUCGUGGGGGUAUAGAAUCCCUUCUUCAUCCUCAUCUGUCCACAUGAUUGGCACUUGCCUGACUCUUGCACAUUUGGCUGCUGGGGUGUUGAAGAAUACAUCUUUGCUGGUCAUGGCGUAUCUAGCGUAAUUCUUCCUCGACCUGUUGGAAUCUCCGGCCAAUGUUGGGCCCCCAGCUAUCACCCUUAGUGCAGGAUGCUCGCGCCUCAGGUUUCUAUCACUCUGCUCCCCUUCAUAUGUCGAGGCCACCAUCGGGAAAGUCCCAUCUACAAACUCGUCCAGGUACCGAUUUCUCACCAAAUCUUCAACCUGGGUCUUGAGAUCUCUGCAUUCUGCGGUGGUAUGGCCAUGAGUGCCAUGGAACUUACAAUGGCGUCCCCUAUCCCUCCUGCCGGGUAGCUUUGUUAUUGGGGCAGGGAGGUACAGCAGUCCUCGGUCCUUUAUGGCCUCGUAUACUUCAUCUAGGGACAUCUUCAAGGACGUGUAUCGCCCAUACUCCUGGUUCUGGUCGAUCAGGUGCACGGCCCUUUCUCUAUUUGCUCCGUUCUGAGUUGGAGGCGAUGACAGCAUUUCUGGUCUGCUCCCUCUACUACCGUGGGAGUGUUGAUGAAGACCACCAUAUGUCGAAUCAUGCCUUCUCCAAGGCUCCCUAGCUGGGGAACGAGGAGGGUGCGCCCUGCUGCGCUGAUACUGUGGUGGCCUCUGAUGAGGCUGGUGAGCUGUUACCCGACCUCCUGCUCCACUACCUGAGGCCUGGAGGUCCCUCCUCCUGAUCGGCCAAUUUCCCAGUAAUGCCCUCUUUUCUUUCUUUUCCAACCCCUCCAGCUGGUCUGUCUUAAUCCGAGCUGCCUUUUCUUCCUCGAUCUCUAUGUCUCUUUUAGCUUGCUCGUAUGCGGCUGCAUACGUCUGAAUAGCUGGGCUUCUCAAGUUGUACCACAGCCUUCCUAUCUUCACUCCCUCUUUCAAUCCCCUUAGUGCCUGAGGAUGGUCGAAGGCUCCCAAAUCGAGGACAGCACGAUGAAACCUCUUGAUGAAUUCCCGAAGAGUUUCUUGUUCCCCUUGCUUCAUGCUUUUCAACUCCAUCAUGUCAUCUUCUAGUGCCAUUGCCCCACGAAACUGCUCUGCAAACUCCUGGCACAUCUGCUCGAAGGUUUUAAUGCUCCUCCCCCGAGGAAGUUUUCUGUACCACUCUCGUGCACGUCCCUCAAGGGAUAGUGGGAACACCCUGCCUGCACCUUUGGGAUUGAGAUAAUCCUUGUACCCCAAUUAUGUCGUUGAAGCGCUCUAUGUGCACCAGCGGAUCUGUUCGUCCCGAAUAUCUAAGGUCUGGGAGGCGGAAAUCUCUCGGAAUAACUGCCCUCAUGAUCUCUGCUGCGAGCGGUGAUUCUCCAUCUAGCAUUAUCCUCCAACCAGGAGCUCUGCUCCUUCCUUGCAUGUCGUCAAUUAUCUGCGCUAGUCUGCGCACUUCCUCCUCCAGCUGCACUGCACGACCAGGGUCACGUGCUGCAACUUGAUCCCGCUCUUGCUCUACAUCAAGCAAGUGUUGCCUCAACUCUGUUUCCUCUGCAUUUGCCACCCCGUCGUCCUCGUCAAAAAUCUGUCUUGCCGGGAAUUGCUCUUCCUCUCUACGGAAUUCUCCCCGCAGAGGUAUGUUACCUCUCUCACCACCAAAUCUCCCGGUGGUUUGACUUCUCCUCGUACUAUCGGGACCUAGUGCCACUCCACCAACUCUCAUCCUUUCCUCCUGGGUUACCCUUCGUUCACUCCGCAACUCAUGCAGGAUGGUUGUCAGGGUCUCCAUCUGCUUUUCCAUUCGUUCCAUUCGGUCGAACAUGGCUUUUUCCCGUGCUUCACUGGCUAUCUCCCUCAGAGUCACGGAAUCGUUAAGCCUCAUAUCACCCCCUUGUGCACUACUUCCUCCUGUCUCCAUUGCUUUUCACUUGCUUCACUCCUCUUCUUGCUAUCAACAGAAGCUUUUUGAUCAGCUCCCCACAGACGGCGCCAAAAUAUUGAUGCGAGAUUCUGGUUGUCCUCGUUCUACGACCAGGGUCUCUGCUCGAUCAACUUCACCACGACCAGGAUCUCUCCUCGUAAAGCUUCUUCUCCAGAGGUUCCUGCGCACACAGACAGGUCAGAGUACGCCGGUUGUUUUCCCGGCGCAAACCCUCCGACGCUCAAGUCAGAAAUAGGGGUUCUGGGAAUGUUUGCCACUAAUCUUAUGGCUUCUUUUUAAUCUCAGUUCUCGGAACUUUCUUUUCUUAGUUCUAAUAGCAAAAAGUCUAACCCUUUUACCUUCGCUGGCUACCUUUUUAUAGGCUUCCUUUGAAUCCCGGUCUUCCGUAGUCCACGCCCAUUAGUCUUCCCACCCUCGGAUGUGGAUGCCCCAUUGUCGUCAUUGUGGGCGAAUGGAGAUGGACUUCGUGCCUUGAUUCUCGGAUAGGAACGCACGUCUUGCCAACUGUCGUUGACCGGGUCUCCUCGCCUCGACCCCUAGCAGGAAUGGCCUUAUGCCUCUAACAGGAGUUCGUCCUCGUGAAUGGCAUAUUUGUGGACGAGCAGAAUAUUCCUGCUCCUGUUCCCUUGCUACCAGGCUCUUACAGGACAUACCUGUUCGCAGAACUCUGCCACCAAAUAUAUGCUCAUCAUGUCUGGUCUCGUCGAAGUAUUUCCCUCAAACAACACAUAGCAAACAUGACAUUAACUACUUGCAGCAGCAUCAUCCAGAAACUUCACUAUAAUCUUCUUGAGCUUUUCAGCGGCAUCUUUCGUAGAUGCCCUUUGUUUUGGUGACUCCAUGCAAAAAUCCAAUGCCGAAUGCAUGAUGCUUAAUAAACAAUUCAUUUUAUUAGUACAUUGGAUAUAAUCGAAGGCAGAGUAUAUUUCAGGACAAGUAGAGUAGCAUUCUUGGAUCCUUUGCUAUUAUCUUCUUUGCAAGGUGGGACUUGAGGUCCUGGUGGACAACAUACUGCAUAAUUCUAAAAAAAUUAUUGAGCUGAAAUGUUUUUAAAAGGUCUUUUGAUAGAAACUCCCCCUUCUAGCCUAUUGUGAGACACAUUAAGUUGUUUGAGAUAUAAGAGUGCCUCUAUUGACUUUGGAAUUUCUCCAGAGAAAUUGUUGCUUGGGAGAUCCAAAGAUUCCAACCUUAUCAAACUACCAAAUGAUUUGGGGAUUAGACCAUAAAAUUGGUUUCUAGCCAAGCUAGAUCUUUGGGGCCACCAAUAUUUACUGGCAUAUCACCUGAUAAUUGAUUUCUUGAUAAAUCUAACUCUAUUAAGACCCUUAAGUUUUGUAUAUCACUUGAUAAUUGUUUGUAUUGGGCCUUCUAUUUUCAUUAUAGAAUAAAUUAACUAUUAAUUUUCAUGAGAAAAAUACUUAUUUCCAUAAAAUUAUUCAAGCUUUUAAAAAGAUUUAGAAUUAAAAAUCAAACUUUGUACUGUAGAAAAUUUGCCGGUACGUUCAAUUAGUACUUUGUUUGAGGAAAUAAGAUUAGAAUAGGCUAUAGGUACGGUAGUUAUGCGGUACCUGUUUAAUAACCGUAGUAUAGUAAAUGUUUGACUUUUUUAUUAGAAAUAUAUCAUUAACAAUUUUGUUCGCUAAUUGAAUAGAGAAAGAAAGGGGGGGUGGGGGGGGGGGGAGGGCAAAAAGGUUAACACAUUUCGAAACUACAAACGAUUGCCUUUUCCUAUUAAUAAUGUUUGCGGAUUCUAACAAUUGAAUCUCAAGGUCAUUACAUAGUGAAUUUUAUAGUUAAUAAAAUUAAUAUUCCACAUACUAUCUACUCAAUUAAUGUCACAUUUUUUGAAACUUGAAUGAUCUAUUUGCUACAAUUAGGAGCCAACGUCGUAAUGAAUGUUAAAUUAUGCUGUUUGUUUUGAUUUACUUUUCUAUCUUAGCUCCAAGUGAUUAGCGGAAUGCUGGUCUUGUGAGUAUAAAAUGAACUCCUUAAGUCAAAUUCCUUCUGGGGUGUUGGAGAAAGAACUAAAUACAUGUAAUCUUGCUUUCGGAUAUGGAUUAUCUGAUGGAUGUUGUAUUUUCUAGGUAUUGAGGAGAUUCCUCAUUAUUGAAAAAUUACGUUCCCGAGCAUCAAAAGAUGAUCCCAUAGAAUUGCGUUCUCCUGUGACAAAAGAGGAGCUUGUAGCUGAGGUAUCGAUUUUUAUCUUUCUUGAUUGUUCUUUAUAGUUGUUUCUCAUCAAAAUAGAAAAAGCAGUUUGUUCUGAGUGACCUGUGCGGUCUACUAUCAAUCACUGCCAUUUCUAUCAUUUAGUACUAUUGACUGUGUGUAUAGAUAUUUUGUUUUUGCCAUGUAAUUUCAUGUUUGAUACAUUUCUAAUACAUUGCAUAGCGUUCAUGAACGAGAAUGAUAAACUAACUUUCAGGUGUGUUUAAGUAGAUGAAAAAACUUGGUACAAUUUAGAAGGAUUCACUAAUUUUCCAAUUUGUUUGUAUGGAGAAAUUGAAUAGUUAAUUGAUUAGAGGAUUGCAAAGUGGGUAGGUCCAGCUGGGCAUUGUCAAUAUUAACGAUCGAUGUUUUGAGAAGGUCUGGAGCUGACAUCACGGUUGCGUCUGUGGAGAAACAACUUCGUGUCGACGCGUGUCACGGUGUCAAGAUUGUCGCUGAUGCUCUCGUGUCUGACUGCCGCGACGCCGUUUUUGAUCUUAUAGCUCUUCCCGUAUGUAUUGCAGCUCACCUCAGCUCAUGCCAAUUUAUGUGAUGUUUGUAUAAUUAUAGAUGAUUAUUGCUGAUACUGAAUGUUAAGCUAAAUAAUUCGUUCUUAAGUCAUCUUCAUUUAAUUUUCGAUUGAAAAUGAAAAAAAUAAUAAUUGUAAGCAAAGAAAAAUAUCGAAAAUGUUUAUUUUGUUUUAAUUUUAUUUUUUAAUUUUUUGGGAUUUCCUUAUUGUGGCUGUUAUUAUUCAUUAUAUGGUCCUAGUUAAAUAUUUCAAGUUGUUGUAGUUAGUGAAUUUCUUUUCGAUAUUUAUUCUGGCAUGUAUAUUUUUUCUUUUCAAUUUCUUUUGUUGCUGAUUCUUUGAUUAUGUUAUAUCCUUUUUUGUUUCCCUUGUAGGGUGGCGUGCCUGGUGCUACCAAUCUGAAAGAAUCUGAAGUAUUAGAAAGCAUUGUGAAGAAGCAGGCUUCAGAUGGGCGUCUUAAUGCUGUUAUCUGUGCUUCACCUGCUGAGGCAUUAGGGUCUAGGGGUCUGUUGAAGGGAUUGAAGGUAAGAAUUAGAUAAACCUUUUUGAUGUUCUGUGGUCUUUUGGGAAUUGCACUGAUAUUUUUGUUAUAGUUCAGUUUUCUUCUCGCUGAUGAUUGUUAAGUUCUAAUUUAUGUAGUUGUUCAUUUUUCGUAGGCUACUUGUUAUCCGUCAUUUAUGGAGCAAUUAGCUCCUGCUUGUGCAACAACUGUUGAAUCAAGAGUACCACAGGAUGGUAAAGUUGUUACGAGUCGUGGACCCUGCACUACUAUGGAGUUUGCUGUUGCACUUGUUGAGCAGUUGUAUGGGAAAGAGAGAGCUGAUGAGGUUUCUGGGCCACUGGUAGUAACUUUUAUAGAUAAUGUUGUUUAAAAAAAUUGUGAGUUAUAUAAUUUGUUGAAAUUCAUUCUAAUAGGUUCAUCUGGUAUGUCAAAUUGGAAGGUUCAGAUGCUAAUGUAGUCCAAAAAAUUAGUUCAGGGGAAAAGUAUGACUUUUUGCAUUAGAGAUUUAUUAGAUGAAGUUGUAUACCUACUGGCCCAUCUUAAUAUGGUGAAAACGAUGUAAAAUCGGGAGAGGGGGUUCGGGGGAGAGGGGAAGCCCUCUCCAACCGCAAGGCCGUUAUUCUGACAUGAAUAGAGUAAGGCCUUUACUUUUAUAAAGAAAGGUCCCUGUUUUGCACGUCUCCACUGAUCACAUUCUUUUUAAUGUAAGUUCUUUCUCUUGGUAUUUGUCUUUGAUUUUUCUCUUCCUCAUGCUGUCGUCUGUCAAAAGAUUUGGCUGCAGCAUCUAGAAGUUUUGAAGAAGCAAAAUGGGUCACACGGCUUUGAAGUUCUAGAUGCCGUAAUGUUUGGUAAAAGUAAAAAAAAAUUCAAAGCUCAAAAAUUCAAAGUUCGAAAAACUGAAAUUUUUGAGCUGUAUGGCUUGUAAUUUUAUAGCCACUUUUUUGACUUUUAAGGAAAAGUUUUACCUAUAAAUACAAGCUCUCAAUUUAGAGCUUGCAUCCAAUUUUGUAAAGAGAGUCGAGAGCUGUGAAAAGCAAUUCUUGCAGAGCAGAGAGUUUGUAGAGCUUAAAUAAUAAAAGCUGUUGUUUUAAUGAUUUGAGAGUUUGGAUGUAUUGGGGUUUUGGGAAGUGAGCUAAAAUACUACAAUACUUGUAACUCCUUUUCACUAGUAAAAUAUUUUUCUUCUAUCUUCACCCAUGGACGUAGGUUAAAAGCCGAACCACGUAAUUUCCUGGUGUCCUCUUUGUGCUUCUUCUUGAUUUUUUUUUCCCAAUUUUACUUUAGUUGCGGCCCUGCUUCACCCGCCAAUUUCCUAACAGCGGUAUCAGAGCUAUUAGUUGUAUUAUUUGGAGUCGGGUACUAUUCACAUACGGUACUGUUCACAUAUACGGUACUAUUCAUGUAUACGUUACUAUUCACGUGAAACGGUGGGAGCAAUUCUAGUAUUGGCGAUGCAAAGCAGGGGAAUAGUGUGUGUGAGUGGAGUAAUUGUGUGGUUUUGGACAUGUGUAAGAAAGUUCUGUCACAAAGGCGAUAAGAGCCUAAGGAGUUAGGAUUUUAAGUGGGACUAUUGUGACCCCUCCAGUCUUUCCUGGGAACUUUCUUGGUGUGCUCUCACACAUACUCACAACUAUUCAAGCUGGUACACUAGUUUUGUACAAUAUUUAUCAACAAAAUGGUGGCAAAGUAUGAAAUUGAGAAGUUUAACGGAAAUAAUUUUUCGUUGUGGAAAAUGAAGAUGAAAGUUGUAUUGAAGAAAAAUAAUUGAUUGGCAGCAAUUAGAGAAAGGCCCAUGGAGAUAACUGAUGACAAGUGGAACAAGAUAUAUGGCAACGCCAUUUUUGAUCUACACUUGGCACUUACGGAUGAAGUAUUAUUCAGUGUGGCAGAGAAAACUACAGCGAAGGAAAUAUGGGAUACUCUCACAAAAUUGUACGAGACCAGGUCACUACACAACAAAAUCUUCUUAAAGAGGAAGCUCUAUACUCUUCGAAUGACGGAAUCUACAAUGGUGACCGACCACAUCAAUACCUUGAAGACUCUAUUUUCACAACUCACAACGUUAGGUCAUAAUAUAGAGGAAAAUGAACAUGCAGAGCUUCUACUUCAAAGUCUACCAGAUUCGUAUAAUCAACUCAUCAUCAACCUGACGAAUAAUAAUCCAGCGGACAGUUUGGUUUUCGACGAUGUUGCAGCCUCCGUAUUAAAUGAGGAGAGCAGGCGGAAAAAUAAGAAAAAUAGACAAGCAAGUUUGCAGCAAGCGGAGGCGUUAUCGGCGACGAGAGGGAGAUCAACGGAACGUGGCUGGCCCCAGUGGGAGUCACAAUCGUGGUAGAUCAAAAUCCAGAAGUAAGAAGAAUGUUAAAUGCUACAAUUGUGGUAAGAAAGGGCACGUCAAGAAAGAGUGUUAGAGUAACCAGAAGAGAAAAGAUGGCAAAAAACCUGAGUCAUCAAAUGCUCAGGGGUGUGUAGCAAGUACCUCGGAUGAUGACGAAAUUCUCUACAGCGAGGCAACAACUGUUUCAGAAGGUAGAAAAUGACUAUAUGAUGUCUGGCUUAUAGACUCAGGAGCUACCUGACACAUGACCUAUCGUAGAGAAUGGUUCCACACAUAUGAACAUAUCUCAGGAGAAUAUGCAUAUAUAGGUAAUGAUCAUGCCUUGGAGAUCGUUAGUAUUGGUACUAUCAAAAUAAAAAUAUUUGAUGGUACAAUUCGCACAAUUGAGGAGGUACAACAUAUCAGCGGCCUGAAGAAAAAUCUAUUGUCUUUGGGACAAAUGGAUAGUCAUAGGUACAAAACUCAUGUGGAGAAUGGAAUUAUGUAGAUCGUUAAAGGCGCGCUUGUAUUGAUGAAGGCAGAAAAGAUCAGUGCUAAUUUAUUCAUGCUUAAAGGAGAAACACUACAGGAGGCUGAUGUAUGUGUCGCGUCAAAUGGAGAAGAGUCAACGAUGAUGUGGCAUCUCAAACUUGGCCACAUGUCAGAACAAGGCUAGAAGAUUCUCUCUGAGUGAAAAUUGCUUCCAGGGUUCAAAUCGGUAAGUUUACCAUUUUGCGAGCAUUGUGUUAUAAGUAAGCAACAUAGAUUAAAGUUCAGUAGAUCUAUUACUAGAAGUAAAUGCAUUCUAGAAUUGAUUCAUUCUGAUGUUUAGGAAUCGCCGGAUAUGUCCAUGGGAGGUGCAAAGUACAUGGUGACUUUCAUUGAUGAUUAUUGCAGGAGAUGUUGGGUGUAUUCAAUUAAGAAAAAGUCAGAUGUAUUUCCAGUGUUUAAAGAAUACAAAGCGCGGGUGGAACUUGAAUUUGGUAAAAGGAUCGAGUGCUUGGGGACAAAUAAUGGUGGAGAGUAUACAGACGGCGAGUUUCUUGCUUUCUGUAAGCAAAAAGGUAUUUAGAGGUAGUUAAUGGUAGCAUACACUCCUCAACAAAACGGAGUGGCGAAGCGAAUGAACAUAACUCUUACAAAAAGAAUAAUAGCUAUGUUGAGGACUGCUGGUCUACCCAAUUCAUUCUGGGCAGAAGCAGCCAAAACUGCCUGUUAUAUCGUAAAUCGAUUGCCAUCUACAACAAUUGGGCUGAAGACAGCGAUGGAGAUAUGGACUGGAAAGCUAGCUGAUUACUCAUACCUACAUGCAUUUGGAUGUCCUGUGUACGUGAUGUACAAUGCCCAAGAAAGAAUAAAGCUUGAUCUAAAAUCUAGAAGAUGUAUCUUCUUGGGAUAUACUGAUGGAGUAAAGGGGUAUCGUCUGUAGGACCCCACUGCCCACAAGAUCGUCAUCAGCAGAGAUGUUAUUUUUUGUAGAAGAUCAACUACAAAGGAAAGAUAGAGAUGAUGACACUGUAAAAGAAAAGUCAGAGACUGUGCCAGUAUAUGUGGAAAAUAAUCCAGAAGAUUCAGAUUCUUCUGAAGCAACACCAGAGCAUGAAGAAUAAGAAUCAGUCGAGUUCGAGGCUCCAGAAGUUCGUCGGUUAACUCGUGAAAGACGACCGCCAACGUGACACUCGGAGUAUGUCACAGAGAUCAACGUUGCAUACUGUUUUCUAACAGAGGAUGGAGAGCCUUCAACUUUCCAUAAAUCUUUAAACAGCUCAGAUGUUACUUUAUGGAUGACAACAAUGCAGGAAGCAAUUGAGGCUCUACAUAAGAACAAGACAUUGGAGCUUGUACCACUACUACGUGGAAGAAAAGAUAUUGGAAACAAAUAGAUCUACAAGAUCAAAUGUGAUGGUAAUGACCAAGUGGAACGGUAUCAUGCAAGAUUGGUGGUGAAAUGAUAUGCUCAGAAAGAAGGUAUUGACUUCAACGGAAUAUUUUCUCUGGUGGUUUGACUCACAACAGUCAGAAUAGUCUUGGUAAUGUGUGCUACAUUUGACUUACAUCUUGAGCAGUUAGAUGUGAAAAUUGCAUUUCUUCAUGGAGAACUUGAAGAAGAAAUUUAUAUGCUCCAACCAGAAGGUUUUGCUGAAAAGGGAAAGGAGAACUUGGUUUGCAGGUUGAACAAAUCUUUAUACGGUCUCAAACAGGCACCGAUGUGUUGGUAUAAGAGAUUUGAUUCCUUCAUCAUAAGCCUCAGAUACAAUAGACUCAGCUCAGACCAAUGUGCAUAUUAUAAAAGGUUUGAAGAUAAUGAUUUCAUUAUUUUGAUAUUGUAUGUGGAUGACAUGUUGGUAGCAGGCCCCAACAAAGAUCGAGUCCAAGAAUUGAAGGUAUAAUUGAUUAGGGAGUUUGAAAUAAAGGACUUGGGACUAGAAAAUAAGAUUCUAGGGAUGCAAAUUCACCGAGACAGAAAUAACAGGAAGAUUUGGCUUUCUCAGAAGAACUACUUGAAGAAAAUUUUGCGACGCUUCAACAUGCAAGAUUGUAAGUCAAUUUCUACCCCACUUCCUGUUAAUUUCAAAUUAUCCUUAAGUAUGUGUCUGAGCAAUGAAGCAGAGAAGGAGGAGAUGUCUCGAGUACCGCAUGCAUCAGCAGUGGGAAGUUUGAUGUUCGCUAUGAUAUGUACUGGAUCGGACAUUGCACAAGCAGUGGGAGCAGUCAGUCGGUACAUGGCAAAUCCUAGUGGAGAGUAUUGGAUAACUGUGAAGAAGAUUCUGAGAUACAUCAGAGGAACCUCAGAUGUUGCAUUAUGUUAUGGAGGAUCAGAGUUUACUGUCAGGGGUUAUGUGGAUUCAGAUUUUGUAGGAGACUUUGAUAAAAGAAAAUCCACUAUUGGCUAUAUGUUUACACUUGCAGGAGAAGCUGUAAGCUGAGUUUUGAAACUGCAGACCGUUGUGGUUUUAUCUACAACAGAAGCAGAAUACAUGGCAGCUACACAAGCUUGGAAGGAAGCUAUCUGGAUACAAAGGUUAUUGGAGGAGUUCGGGCACAAACAAGAGAAAAUUUUUGUGUAUUGUGACAGUCAGAGUGCCUUGCAUAUUGUAAGAAAUCCAGCAUUUCAUUCAAGGACAAAGCAUGUAGGAGUUCAGUAUCACUUCGUUCAAGAAGUAGUGGAAGACGGAAGUGUGGAUUUACAGAAAAUCCAUACGAAGGAGAACCUAGCAGAUGUUUUGACCAAGCCGAUAAAUACUGAUAAGUUUGUCUGGAGUAGAUUCUCUUGUGGCCUAGCAGAAACGUAGGCAACAUGACAGUGGCGAAGCAGAAACGAUGGUGUGGAGAUUGAUUGAUCCUCAAUCAAAUCUCCAAGUGGGAGAAUGUCAAAAGAUUUGGCUGCAACAUCUAGAAGCUGCAUCUAGAAGUUUUGAAGAAGCAAAAUGGGUGGCACAUGACUUUGAAGUUCUAGAUGCUGUAAUGUUUAGUAAAAGAAAAAGAAAAAAAUUCAAAGCUAAAAAAUUCAAAGUUUGAAAAUCUAAAAUUUUUGACCUGUAUGGCUUGAAAUUUUAUAGCCACGUUUUUUACUUUUGAGGCAAAGUUUUGCCUAUAAAUACAAGCUCUCAAUUUAGAGCUUGCAUCCAAUUUUGUAAAGAAAGUCGAGAGCUGUUAGAAGCAAUUCUUGCAGAGCAGAGAGUUUGUAGAGCUUAAAUAAUAAAAGCUCUUGUUUUAGUGAUUUGAGAGUUUAGGUGUAUUAGGGUUUUGGGAAGUGAGCUAAAAUACUACAAUACUUGUAACUCUUUUUCACUAGUAAAAUAUUUUCCUUCUGUCUUCGCCCGUAGAAGUAGGCUAAAAGCCGAACCACGUAAUUUCCUGGUGUCCUCUUUGUGCUUGUUCUUUAUUUUUUUUCAAUUUUAUUUUAGCUGCGGCCCUGCUUCACCCACCAAUUUUCUAACAUCGUCUUCACUGUCACCCUGUGCCUAGGUAAUGCGUGCAAAUCAUGGGGUUGAAUACACUAUUGCUGAAUUCAAUCCAAUUCAGUGGACAUUUGACAAUUCUCCCCAGGUGAGAUUGGACUUCUAGUUUCUUGUAUUUGUUUUUCUUCAUCCGAUGUUUUCAGGGAUACCUAUUUGGCAGUAUAUAAAAAUCUGUGAUAUCGUCUAUACAUAUACAUAUACAUCAUUGGCUUCAGUCAUUUGUGAACAUAUUGGUGGUAGUAGAUGUAUUUUUAUGAUAUCUCUAAUAAAAUCCUAAGUUUGAUUAAUUACAAAAGAAGUAUGAGCGGUGCUGGACCGGGGGGGAGGGGGGAGGAGUGGGGUGUCGGUGUGUUGGGGGUGUGCAGUGCAUGAAUAAAAGGAAAUGAUAGGGGGUGAAAGUUUGUGCUACCGACAUGCUGUAAAAUGGGGACACAAUAUUUCAAAUUAGAGAUUGUGAGAUCCUUAAUAUUGCUGACUUGUGCUUAAAAUGGAAUUCUUGAUAACUUCAAAUGUUAAAGUUCUUGGUGAAAUUUUGUACUUUCUUUUCUUUCAGAUUCUUGUGCCUAUUGCAAAUGGUUCAGAGGAGAUGGAAGCUGUUAUGAUAAUUGAUAUUCUGCGACGAGCUAAAGCAAAUGUUGCAGUUGCAUCAGUUGAGGAUAAACUAGAAAUUCUGGCUUCGUCAAAUUAAAUUAGUGGUAGAUGUGCUCAUUGAUGAGGCGGCUAAACUUUCGUAUGAUUUAGUUGUCUUGCCAGUGAGUUGGGGUGCUUACUCUUGCUUCAUAGUCUUUACCACAUUAUUGACUUACUAACUACAAUUUAUCCAUGCACAUUGCACAGGGUGGACUUGGUGGCGCUCAAGCAUUUGCGAAGUCAGAUAAAUUGGUGAAUAUGCUAAAGAAGCAAAAGGAAUCAAAUAGACCUUACGAUGCUAUAUGUGCAUCCCCAGCUUUAGUGUUGGAGCCCCGUGGCUUACUCAAGGUACGACCAUUUCUGCUUAAAUUAUUUACUCAGAUUUGGAUCACCUAAUCUGAACUUGAUGAGAGAUUAUGAUGUUGUAUGAUUUUAUGAAUGUGGUCUUAUCUCAUGUAAGUCAGUGAUGAAUUAAUUGGAGUUUGUUGACAAAUUAGAAGCUGAAAAACUGCUGCUGCUUCGUUAGUUACAUUACCCAAAGAGUUAAAAUUAACAUCACAAAUUUGUUAUCCCAAAUGAUAUGGCAUUUAUUGAGUGAUUGGUAUUAAUUGUAUUAUCUAACCCACCAACAGAUGAAUGCCGCACCAUUUGAGACGAUCUUUUGGGAUAAAAAAUUUGGGAAGUGCAGCAAAUUUUUAUGCCGAUUUUUUUUGGCUUCAUUCAUGUAAACUCCUCCCCCCCCCCCCCCAAAAAAAAAGGAAAACCAGCAAACACCAAAAAAAAAAAAUUCUGAAGUACUUCCCUUAAUAUCAUUCCUGUGUAUUUCUUUUCCCCUCAAGACAUAUUUAACUUUGGUUCAGGGUAAAAAAGCUACAGCUUUUCCUGCCAUGUGCAACAAGCUGUCAGAUCAGAGUGAAAUCGAAAACAGAGUUGUGGUUGAUGGCAACCUCAUCACCAGUAGAGGGCCAGGAACUUCAAUGGAGUUUGCACUGGCAGUUGUGGAGAAGUUUUUUGGCCGCAACAAGGCACUUGAGCUUGCAAAGAUAAUGCUUUUCACUCGCGCCUAACGUUUGUACCGGGACCUGACUACUAUUAAACUAGUGUGUUUAUUUCUGUAUUACUACUGCUUGUAGAGAGGGGAAACGGAAACUUGAAUUCAUGUUUGAAUAUGGAUUCACUGUGUCGGUUUGUACAGCAGUUUGGUUUAUAAAUAAAUGAGUUCAUAGAGUCAUUUCAAAUAUUUGGAAUAAACCUGAGUUUAGUUCUGUUAUCAAUGGUCGGAGUCCAAUUGCGAUCGACUCACUGGGAAUUUUAAUUAUG
This 65339-nucleotide long non-coding RNA is filed under the name Citrus maxima (pomelo). Its description in RNAcentral is "long non-coding RNA (CMAX_LNC003046)". The record is from RNAcentral. Lineage: Eukaryota; Viridiplantae; Streptophyta; Magnoliopsida; Sapindales; Rutaceae.